UCGAAUGAUAACUUCCUUUGAAAGAAAAAAUUGGAACGAAAUGAUUGAGUUUGUGAAAGAGAGAGUUGAGGGUGAUUGGUUUUAUAGAGAAAAAGGGAAUGGAUUUGGUAAAGAGCUGUUGGUGUUGGUGACGCCAUGGAUUGGGGGAGAAAGCAGAGAGAGUUGAGUGCACGGAGGGUGUUUGAUAGAAUGCGAAACUGAGAAUAAAUUAAUAUUGGAGAUGUGAGAGGUUGAUGCAGUAACCUAGAAGUAACGUUGAAGAAAAUGCGACCUUAUAAGGAAAAUAAUAAUAAAUUAAAAAUAAAGGUGGUGUAUUAAAAUAAUAAUGGUGGUUGAUUGAUGAUGUUGAGGAUAAGUGUUUGAAUGAAAUGGUUUGUUUUAAGCAAGCAGCAGGGGGUGGCGGUGUUCAGUCUGAGGACUUGUGUUUUGUGUCUGCCUUCUCCUUUCAUUGAAGAGAGGGUUUCUAAUACCAAAGGAUUACAAAGAAUAAAAUUGCUAUAAAACGAUUACGACCAUAGAAUUUUAAACUGUUUUAUUGGUUUUCUAUAAACUGUUUUCUUUCUUUUAAUUUAAAAGUUUCUUUGGUUUAUAUUUUUUUUUAAAAUUGUUUUCUAAUACUGUUUUAAGUUUUCUUGUUUUCAAAAACAGAAGACCAAAUACUAGUUAAACAAUAGUUUGCUUUUUAGUUUCUAAUAUUUGAUAUAUUGCUACAACUAAAAUAUAUCAAAAAUGUUAUGGGUAGAUCAUAUCAACAUAAGGGCGGGUCGGGUCAGACUUGUGGACACUGCACGUUUUAAGUUUUAAAAUAUAAAAUUUAUAUUAACGUUCGUGCCUGCAAAAGCUUGCAAGAAAAUGGGAUAGGCGGGACAGACACAUUAGAGGGUGUGAGCCUAAACCCUUGGGCACCCCGCGCUAAAGUGCAGGUAAAACAGACAUGCCCAACCGGCAGGGCCUGUUUUGCCACACCUACAUCAACCUCAACCAACUACUUAAAAGGGGUCUCACUCCUUCCAAAAUCCUCUCAGGACACGAGGAUUAUCAUAUGAUCAUGAGAGAUUUGAACUGGAAGUACAUCCAACGGUUCUCCGUAUUUCAAUCCUUACAAAUAACGAGUUUGUUUUUUGGUUCUCUCUAUAUAUGGAGAAUGCUCCAAAUUGGGGUGAUAAUUUUCAAAUCCAAUUUCACUUACUAUUUUUCCUCAUAUACUGACUUGAGUAUUUGAGUGUUAACCUUACUGGUCCCCCCAAUCCACCGCAUCAGAGGCUAUGAUCCACCAUCGUCGUCGUUGCUACACUCAUUUAUGGUUCUAGAACGGAACAGUGUUAUCGUUUAUGGAAAUUGACUUCUGAUUCCUAUGAUUUUCACAAAUUUAUGUUCGCUAUUCAACUUCAUCAAUUGCAAUCUCCUCAAAUCAACAUAGCGAAAAGCAUUCGCAAUAAAGCGUGAAAAUCCAUCGCAUCUUGAUUCAAUCAAACAUAAUCUCAAUUUAGUUUUCUCGAAUUUCUAGAUAUUUAGUUCUCAUAAUUUCUGGUGAUGGUUGGAUCUAAGGCCACUCGAUCCGCUGUUGCACGUGAAGUCGUCGUUGUUGCUCUAGCAACUAACAAUCAACUGACUCUCUCUCCCCCACAAGACGUUGGAGAUCUUGGAAUAGUUGCUUCACUACAUCGAGAUCUUAUUCAAGCUUUAUAUUUACUAAAGUUACACCGAUGGAGACUCGUGUUCCUCCUCAGGCGAUAGUUUGUCAUGGCCAACUUGACAUAGCCCAUGAGGGCGACAAGGUCAUUCAACGAGGGUCUGAUGCUGUAAUUGCCCUGAGGGGCGACAAAAAUCUUCUUAGGAAAGUCCAACAUAUAAUUUCCUUGAUGGGCGACAAGGAUCUUCCUGAGGAAGUCCUUUCCCUUCAUAUCAUAUAGAUUCUUUCCGCGUUUUACGUAUAUCUUGAAUAAUCUCUUCAAGUUAGAAAGAGAGUGGGGCGCCUCUUGCCCACGAAGGGGAAAAGAGCGACACCCAUUAUUCAAAGCAAGUUUUAAAGAGUUCUUACAUAAACUACAAACAGCAGAGACAAUAGCCCGCCUUUAUCCAAUAACAUCAAUAAUUAAUCAAAGCGUAAACUUGCAUAUGCCCGACCUCUUGAUCUCGUAUGUGAUCUCGCUUUGAUGAAUUUGUAUUUUUAUGAUUAGUUAUGUUAGUUUGUAUUUGAAUACAACGGAUGUAGUGUAACACAUCUCGCCUUUUUAAGGACGAAUCGUUGUACUUACGCUUGACAACUCAAUUGUUUUUUUAUAGUUAUGAAUCGCCGAAUAAAUUUACGGUGUGUUUGAUCGACACAUCGAGUCCACUUGCAGAUCAUCUCAACAAAUCAAAAUAAAAUAUUUUAUUAGACAAAUAUAUUUUCACCUAAUAAUGUGUAUAUAAGCACUAUUUGGCAAAUUAGAUACAAAUAAGCUGCCUUUAAUGAUGCUCGCUAUUUGUUUCUUUUGCUUAAUUAGAGAUGCUAAAUGUUUCUUAGAUGUGGUUUAUGAAUCUUAUGAGGAGUAAUGCUGUUAUAUCACAUGUCCUAGCAAGCUAGUGUCACUGCUAUAUUCUAGUAUUUUAUAUGCUGAUAUAUCAUCAUUUCUAUUUUUAUAAACGUAUACACUAUACUAUCAGUAGCAUCAACUAAUUUGUUCAUAAAUAGUAGCUAAUUAUAAACCCAAUGUGAGAUUAACUUCUCUUACAUACAAGACCGGCGUGGUUCUUAGAAUGUGACACGUGGGUUUCUGCAUGAACUAAUGGGCCCUAAAGACACCAACCAGUUGUACGCAAAAGUAAAGUUACUAUUCAUCGUACAAGACAUGUGAGGUUUCUCUGAUACAUGGCCCUUACAACGGUUGGAUUUUUUUUAUAAGGAAGGAAAACAUGGGAUUAAAAAGAGGCACAAGGGAUACUCACCCUUUUACAACCAAGGAAAUCAAAGGAAUAAAGAAAAAACUAAAAUUUUCAACAACAAACUUUAAUUAUGAAUCGUUAACUCCCAACACGUCCUCGGAUUAUUACACCAAACCGAUCAAAAAAGUUCCUAUAAGAGAAGACAUUGAACCAGUCCCAAGAUAUAAUCUUAAUCAUGUUCAUAACAUCCAAGUUUCUAAGGAUGCUCAUUUUAAAAAAGACUGCAUUCCUACAAGACUAAAUAGACCAACAAAAAACUAGAUCAAAAAACCAAAAAGAAAUUGUAGUGUUAAGACCAUGGAAUUUAUCCAACAAAGAACUCGUAGGAAAAGCAUCGCGCUCUCCAAUCUACACGCAAAACUUGGACCAAAUGAGAUUAGAAAAAGGGCAUGAGCUAAACAAAUGUUCAUCUUCUUCCAAAAAGCAUAAAGGACAAACCACAUUAUGCACACCUUCGAUAAUACCACACUUAGCCAACUCUAUCCUCGUGGGUAACUGGUUAAAAAGAAUAAGACGCACAAAAAUAUGAACCUUACUCGGAACUUUAGAUUUUCAUAAACGAGUAAGGCACCACAAUUCUAGCUUUUAAGAUCCUCUUGUAACUAACUUUAAUCGAGAAGUCAUUUUUAUCCCUCCAUCACACAAAGCGGUCCAAAAUAAAAUAAAUAUACUUCACAUCAUGCAAGUAUCGUUGAUCCAAACCCCAACAUCACAAACUUUGAGACAUCUCAAACCACUAAGUCGAAACAAAGAAAGGAAUAAAACAUUAAAAGAGGAAAAUCCAAGUCAAAUAUGUCUCUAAAAGUCUAAAAACCUCUUGUUACCAAGCUUACAAGAAAUAGAAAAAGAAAACCAAUUAGAUCGGGAAAUAUCAUUAUUUUUCAAGGGUUCCCCAAUAGUACAAAAAUCCCUCCACCACAAAUACAUCUUCCUACUCACACAAGGGUCACCUAAGACCGCCAAUUUUCACAUUGUCAUGCCUAAGAGAAAUAAUAUUUGACCACAAAGAAGAAUCAUCAUUUAGAACCCGCCAUUUUCACUUGCUUAACAAAGCAAGAUUAAACAACACCCAAUGUUUCACCCCUAAACCACCAUCCUCCUUAGAUAAGAAAAUAGAAUCCCAAGUAACCCAACUCACCUGUUGGAAAUGAGUUAGUCAUGUGGUAAACACCAUUCACGCUCUAAUUUCCGUUUAAUUUUUUUUUUGAAAAAGCAAAAGAAUGUAUUAAAAUUAAACGUAACAGUUCAAGACAUGAGGCAUGCCUAGGCAUUACAUAAGAAGUGUCUAUCCAAAACAUAUUGAUAUUCAAACUAUAAACUGAAAUACAUUAACUCUGUAACCAACAAAAUUAAACUGACAGCCAACACUUAUAUUGCAUUCACCAAACCACCAAAACGGUGACAAAAUAACUGGAAAUACUUAGCCACAACCCUUCAACAAGGCUAGUGCAGAAAAAUGACGCCACGCCUCUACGGAUAGAGCGAGACAAAGGUCGAAGCAAAUAUAUUUUUAAACAACUAUUGAUGAAGGCAAAUCCCACAACUCGAUUUUCACUGACCGAGUUUACUCUGCACAAACAUUCUGAUCUGACUCGCUGACUAGAACCAUUUCAUUGAAAUAGCCACUAUCAUGCCUUUUAACACCUCUACAAUUACUGCUCAAAACUCAGAAUUAACCUAUGAAGUCGAUUCACGCUUGCCACCACUGAGAACGACAUAUCACAUUAGCGGAUCCAAAACAUGUCCCUGAGACAAUUACCCGUUUUCCACCUCGGCCACCAUCAAACACAAAAACAAAAUUCUGACCAUACUUCACUUAGGAAAACCACUUAACUCGAUAAACAAUCGAACCCAGCGAACCACAACAAUGGACAAAUUUCAGCACAUACAAAUUAUACGCGCCUUAGGUGUUCAAUUUGCCAGACGCUUAAACUACAUCAUACUUUCACUAUCUUCACAAAAACCAAAUUCUCCACGGCCACCAUCAAACACGAAAUCAAAAUUCUGACCAAAUUUCAAAUAAAUAGACCAAUCAACUCGAUAAGCAAUGAAUCCCUACGAACAACAAUAGUAGCAUAAUUUAGCACAAAACAUCAGACAAGUUAUGCACUCCUAUAAAAUUUCCAGACACUAAUUCUGCAUCAAAAUUUCAAUAUCUACACCAUAAACAAAUUAUGCAAUUAACUCAUCAUCAUAUCACCGCAUACUAACAAAAAAACAUGGAAAUCAACCGGAUACAAAACAUGCCCCUUAAGAGGAUUGUCCUCUUUCCACCUCGACCACUAAACAAUUUUGUUAAACAUACCAAUCAACUCGAUAAAUAAUGUAUCCCAGUUGUCGCUACCGGACUAACCAAUUUUUCGAUAACGAUUAACUGAUAUUGAAUUAGAGAUAAGUUGUACUGUAAUUCCUAUUUAUUUAGUUUAUUGUUGAAUAUAAUGUUGAAACAUAAAAUUUGAACCAAACCAAUCAUUUUUCAGAAUUGCAAUUUCCUGUAUGUAUAUAUUGUAAACAAUGCAUGUGCAGUAGAUAUAUAAUAUUAACUGCUCAUGAUAAAAGCAUUACAUAAUUUUAGUACUUCAAUAAAAGACAUUGUAAUUUAUAGGGAUAUACGUGGGUUGGGUUUGACCUAAUUCGUUAUCCAAUCCGUUCAAAAUUCAAUGGGUUUGGUCUGUCGUCCAACCCACAAUUUCAUUGUCAAAACCAAACCGGACCGUCCCGUUCAUUAAUGAGUUGGAUUGGGUUGGGUUCGCGGGUUGUGUUUCAAAUAAAUAAUAUAUUUUUUAUUAUUCCUUUUGUCGAUUUAAAAAAAUGUAACACAACUCAAUACAAUCAUACUCAUUUAUAACAUCAAAUUCAAUGAAACACAUCAUAUAAUAUCUAAUCAAAUUCAUCAACUCGGCAUAACACUUUAUAAUAAUAUAAAAUUCAACAAGACAUGUUAUUUUUAUAAAAUGCAUAAGUUAGAAAUUAUACAAAAGAAAAUAAAAAAUAAUAUUUAAUCUUAGAAUUACGUAAAUUCAUUGGUCUAGUAGUAUUAUUGACGGAGAAUAAUUUUUGUAAAGAAAUAUUAUGAUUAUUAGUGAGAUAUUAAUUUUAUAUUUUUAUUUAAAAUAAUAAUAAAAAUAAUAAGAAGUUACUAAAGACACAUUAAUGAAUUGGGUUAACGGGUCCGUGAGUUGCAAAACUCAAACCGGAUAUCCAAACCAAAAUUAUACGGGUUAUUAUGGGUUGAUUUGUAUAUACCCGUAAAUGAAUGAAUUCGGGUAAUUUAUGGAUUGGAAUGGUUUGGGUCAGCGGAUUCGUGGGUCGAUCCACGUUGAUGAAUACCCUAAUGAUUUAUAUGUUAUCAAUAUUCUUUGAAGGGGCAAAUAUAUGUUCCAUAUGUCUCUACUUUGAUAGAUCAAAAUAUACAAUUGAAUACACACGCUACAUGUUUAUAUGUGAAUGAUGUACAAUAUGGCAAGGAUUUCAUUUUUUGGUUAUAUAUCCAAUUGAAUACAUAUGUUACUAAUGUUACUAUUACUAUGAAUAUUUUUUCAUCAACCGUCAUUUAUUUUUCUUGGUUUCAUUUCAUAUUAAGAUAUCAUUUAUUUUACUUGGUUUCAUUUCAUAUUGAGAUAGAUUAUGUGUAUAUACAUUGAAAAUAUGACAUUGAUUUUAUAUUAGAUACAUUAAAAAUAUGACAUUGGUUUAUAUUCCACUAAUUAUAAUUAUGAUAGUAAUAAUAUUUAUGAUCCACAAUAGUUGAAUAUUAUAUACAUAUUGUUAUAAUAAAUAACAAAAUUAUUUAUUAUUUAAAAAUAUUUAUCUAAAAUAUCAACUUAAAAUAGUAAUGUGAAUUAUUUAUCAAAGUGUCAACUUAAAAUGUAAUAUUCUAUUUACAGUGUCAACUUAGAAUAAUAAUGUAAAUUAUUAUAUUCAUUUAAUAGUUAUAAUUCUAGUAGUAUAAAUAUCCCCCUUUAGUUCAUAUAAAGAUACGCCAAUUCUCUUUGAGAAAUAUAAGAUAUCAUCCUACUUUCUUCUCUUCUUAUUCUCUUAGUUUGAUUCAAAUAUUUUAUUUUUCUCACCAUGUUAUCACCACAAUCAUUUCUAUCAAAAACUAUUACUACACUAAAUAUGUCUUAUACAUUUAUCACUUUAAUCUUAUAAUAAUAAUAAUAAUAAUAAUAAUAAUAAUAAUAAUAAUAAUUAUUAUUAUUAUUAUUGUUAUUAUUAUUUUCCCCAGUUUUAGAAUACUGUCAACCCAUCAAGUGAUUUAUAACUAUAUUAUCUAGUAUUGUUAUUAUUGUUUUAGAUCUUCUUAUAGAAAACUGGAAACUAGUGCUCUAUGAUAAGUGUUGCUAUUAUUAUAUACAAUUUGUAUAGAGGUCUAAAACCUCAUAUGGAGAUACUAACUUUUAUAUUUAAUGGUGGUCUAAAAUCCUAACUUUCAUAUUUAAUGGUGAUCUAAAAUCCUAUAUGCAGAUACUAACUUUCUAAAAUCUCAUAUGCAGAUACUAACGUUUAUAUUUAAUGGAGGUUAAAAACCCCACAUGUAGAUAUUAACUUUUAUAGUUAAUGGAGAUCUAAAACCUCAUACGUAGAUACUAACUUUUAUAUUUAAUGGAAGUUUAAAAUCUCAUAUGCAAAUACUAACUUUUAUAUUUAAUGGAUAUAUAAAACCCCAUAAGUGUAUACUAACUUUUAUAUUUAAUGGAGGUCAAAAACCCCAUCUAUAAAUAAUAACUUUCAUACUUAAUGGAGGACUUAGAUCCCUAUCUAUAAUAUUGCUUCACGAAAAAAUUAUAAUCAUUUGAUAUUAUUUAAAUUACUAAUGUUAUCUCAUAAUCAUCUCUAACACUGGUAAUUGUUAUAUGAUAUUUAACAUACUUAAAAUUUGCCUAGAUGAUAUUUAACACACUUUAAUUUUUUCUUUUCCCCUUUUCCCCAACGGGAACUUUAACGAUCAUUUUACAAAUUUAUCUCUAUAAAUACCUCAACAUCCUUCAUAAUUUCCAAAUCACUCUCAAAAUAUACAUCCGUAUUUUUCAAAUGGCUAAAUAUUUUCUUUUAUUCAUCACUCUAAUCGUCAUUAUUUUGUUCCUUAUAGAUAUUGUCAAGCAUGAAGAAUUAGGUAAAGUUUAUGUAAUAUUAAUGAUAUUUAUCAUUUUACCAUUAUUAGUCUUAACUUGGUUUUUUGAUAGAGGUUUUAAAUAAAAUAUAAUUUUUGUAAUUGUUAGUAUUGAGUAAAUUGAUAUUUUAGUUUAUACAUUAAAUGUUGAUUAUGUUCGUCUGAAUUCUAGAUAUAAUCUUGUCCAACAUUAAACAUCAAUUCAAAAAUUUAAACAUAACUAGGGACAACUACAUAACUUGGAACAACAACUUAAUAAAGUAUCUUUCAUGUGAGGGACUCGACAAAAUCCUUGAAGGAGACAAUUCAAAAAAGUCGACAGUUGACCUAGAGGAAAUGGAAAUGAAAAAGUUAAAAGUAAAUCAAAUAAUCAAACACCACCUUAAUGAUGGAUUAAAAACAGAAUACUCGAAUGUAAAAGAUCCCAAUAUAUUAUGGGACAAACUUAAGGCAAGAUUUGGGCAUCAUAGAAAAGUUUUAUUUCAAAGUGUUCAAUAUCUGUUAAAAACAAGAAACUUUUCUACUACAUGAACUUUCAUAUCAAAUAAAAGUUUCUAUUUAAGCACUUCAAAUAUAUUUUGUUGAUUCAUAUUUUUACAGGAAAAGGGAAGAACAACUUUGUUGAAAUUUUGCUGUUAUCAAAAUUCUAUUGCUCUUAUACUCUAAAUUCAAAAUUGUUGUUAUUAUCAAUAUUGUGUAACUUGUUUAUUAGGUUGUUGAUAACAAGAUUAUUAGAGAGAAAGUAUGAUUAUUUCUCUUGGUAUUUGUAACAUCACAAGGUAGAGUUCCUUUGUGAUUUUGUUAGUAAGUUAAGAGAGUCUAGUGGACCGACUGUAACAUUUCUAACAUAGUGAAAUCUCUUAUUGAUUGUGAGGGGACUAGAGUACCUUUGUUUGGAAAGGAGAAUCAUGAUAUAUUUUGUGUUCAUUUACUUUACUACAUUUACUUUUCUGCAUAUAACUGCAAUCUCUUAAACUAGAAAAAUAACUCAUCAUUUCAUUUUUAUAAAUCAAUAAAAGUAAAACCAAUAAAAUUACAAGGCUAAAGCUUACCACUUUUCUCUAAAAUUUAUAAACACAUAUCACCCCCUCUUAGGUUCUCUCUAAUACUUACAAAUAUUUGUUUAAAGAAGACUAUAAGAAUUAUCCUACUUGCCCUUGUAUUUUUAUAAGAAAAACUAUAUCUAUUUUUGUAAUAAUUGAUGUAUAUGUCGAUGAUUUAAACAUCAUUGGAACUAAUAAAUAAAUUAGAGAAGCAAGAUAUUACUUAAAGAAAGAAUUUGAAAUGAAAGAUCUAGGAAAAACUAGGUUCUACCUUGGUAUACAAAUUAAGUAUACUAAAAUUGGUAUAUUAGUACAUCAAUCAAAUUAUACGUAAAGGGUAUUGGAAAGGUUUAACAUGGACAAGAAAAACUCUUUGAGUGGUCCAAUGAUGGAUAGAACACUUAAUGUUGAAAGAGAUCCAUUUAGACCUAUGGAAGAUGAUAAAGAGGAUCUUGACUCUAAAGUUUUAUUCCUCAAUGUCAUUGGGGCACUAAUGUACCUUACUAACUUUACACGACCUGAUAUAGCUUUUGUAGUGAAUUUACUAGCAAGAUUCAUUUCGUGUCCUACAAAGAGACAUUGGAAAGUAACAAAACAUAUAUUUUGAUAUCUCCGAGGUACAUCUGAUCUGAGUUUGUUUUAUUCUAACUAUACAAAACCAAUUUUGCUUGGUUAUGAAGAUGUUGGAUAUUUUUCAGAUCCAUAUAAUGCUAAAUCACAGUCUGGGUAUGUCUUUACAUAUGGUGAUACUGCAAUAUCAUGUAGAUCUCAAAAGCAAACACUUGUAGCAACUUCUUUAAUUCAUGCUAAAGUAAUCGCUCUUCAUGAAGCAAGCAAAAGGUGUAGAUGGUUACGACCAGUAACUAGACAUAUCCAAGAAGCGUAUGGAUUACAAACUGAUAAUAAUCCAACAAUUUUGUAUGAAAACAAUGUUGCAUGUGUUACCUAGAUGAAAAAAGAUUACAUCAAAAGUGACAGAACCAAGCAUAUCCCUCCAAAGUUCUCUACAUUCACACAAGAACUUGAAAGAAACAAAGAAAUUGAUAUUCAAUAUAGUUAUUCGUGUGAUAGUAUGACAAAUCUCUUAAUAAAUGCGCUCCCUACAUCAGUUUUCAAGAAGCAUGUAAAAAGUAUUGAAAUGCGUCGUCUUCGAGAUCUUUGAAGAAGAACUAAAUGUGUUAUGUUGAGGGGGAGCAUAAUGUUGUACUCUUUUUCCCUUAUUAAGGUGUUUAUCCCAGUGAGUUUUUCCUAAUAAGGUUUUUAACGAGGCGACAUAUGUUUCCAUAAGAUUAUUCUCGACAAGACUCCAAUGAAAUACCGUGAUAGAUAUUUCAAAAGGGAGGGGAUGUUAAAAUAAAUAACAAAAUUAUUUAUUAUUUAGAAAUAUCUAUCUAAAAUGUCAACUUAAAAUAGUAAUGUGAAUUAUCUACCAAAAUGUCAAUUUAUAAUACUAAUGUUUUAUUUAUAAUGUCAACUUAGAAUGAUAAUAUAAAUUAUUACAUUCAUUUAAUAAUUGUAAUUCUAGUAGUAUAAAUACCUCAUUUGGUUCAUAUAAAGAUACACUAAUUCUUUUUGAAAAAUAUAAAAUAUCAUCCUAAUUUUUUUCUCCUUUGAUAUUCUGUUUUUCUCAACACAUAUAUCACAGUUAUUUUUUCAAGAAUAUGUAAAUUGGUACUAUAUGAAUUUGAAAUAAAUCAACAACACUGUACGAUAAUGGCAAUGCAGAGGUAUGGCAGGAUGAAUGAACAAUACUAUGUAUCAUAUAAAACUAUGAACUGGUUAAUUAUUUUACUACGAUGCAACGUUUCAAAGGAUGCAAUAAUUUUCACGUAAAAAUUAAGGUAUUAGUUACAUAACUUUCCUUUUCUUAUGUUAAUUUUUUUUUAAGUAUUAAGGUACAGAGCACUGCCCAAAAUUAAAUGUACAUUGAAUUAGCAAUUCUAAUUUUAUAUAUUCAACAAAUUUAAAUGUGUAUACAAUAACAUCUAUUGGUCAAUUACAAUUUCUAUAUACAAGGUGAACUUAUAUAUAUAUAUAUAAUAAUAAUAAUUAUUAUUUGCAUUUGGAUUAGUGUUGACAUUUUAUAUGUUGUAAAAGUGCAAAAUCACAUAUAUUAUUGUAAAAUUAAUCAACUUAUCCGCAGUUUUUUUAUUAAUAUCAAAAUUAGUUUAUGAAAUUAUUAAUGUCGAAAUUUUUUAACCACAAAAGUAGUGAAUUCAUAAAAAUUCUUGAAUUUUGAUUAUGAACUACAAUUUAUUAUUUAAUUUUGAAAUGGAAAGUGUACCGUCUAAUUUGAAGUUAUUUGAAUUAGAAAUUUGUUGAUCAUCAAAGUGGUCAAAUUAAUUAAAGUUUAUGAUUGCAAAUUAUGCAACUGAACUUGAACUUGGAUACAAAUUAUACAAUGUAAAUAAUAUUUUUGGACUCAAUAAGACUUAUCAUUAUAAGACAUAUAUAGAUCAUCUAAAGAUGGAUCAUGACUUAUAAUUAAUCAAAUUAAAGUACAUGUUAACACAAUUGUUGUUUGUAUAUCCAAAGAUAUGCAUGCAUAUUUUAAGUGAUUUUAUUGUCCAAUAAAAUAUGUUUACCUAGUAUCAUUAAAAUUUAUUGAAAAAUAUUUAGGUUUUAUCCAAAGGUGAACUUUGAUACACGUUAAAAGAUGAUUAGUUUGAAUCCAUGAAAUUUAAUCAAAACACUAACAUAUGAGUGUGUCUUAAAUGUUUGUAGUUACUAGUAUGAUGUUAUGGACUUAGACAUGACAUUAAUAAUGGAUGAGAAGUCCGUAGCCAUUACGAAGGAAAAUAAAGAAAGAGAAAUGUAUCUCUUUGAGACUUAGGAAAUGUCAAAUAUGUUGCCUUUAAACUUUAUUAGAAAAGACGAUACCUAGGUUCAUUUGCAAAGUUUCUCGAAAGUCAUGGCAAUGUGAAUAAUAUACUAUGCCUGGCACACCACAACAAAAUGGUGUGGAUGAGAGGCAUAAUCAUACUUUCAUGGAUAUGGUUAGAUAAAUGUUGAAUUAUAGUAAUGUACCAUUAUCAUUAUGGACGCAUACAUUAAGAACCGCCACAUAUUUGCUUAAUAGAAUUCCUAGUAAGGCAGUUCGUAAGACUCCAUAUGAACUGUGAACGGAAAGAAAACCUAAUUUAAGACAUCUUCAUAUUUGGGAAGCCAAGAAUAAGUAAGGGUGUAUAAUCCACAUGAAAAGAAGUUUGAUGCAAGAACAAUUAGUGGUUUUUUUUUCAUUAGGUAUCCGGAAAUAAACCAACAUCCAAAACCCACUAAAUAAUAGUUGAUUAACCAAUGGACAAUGUACAAGUCACAAAUGAGCAAUAACAAGUGAUAAAAUAAAUACACAGAAUAGGAAUAAGAAGGUCUACAAGACUAAGAAGCAGGGACGGCCCUGUGCAAGUGCAGCAUGUGCUGCAGCACAGGGGCCCAAAUUUUAGAGGGCCUCAAAUUUUAAAAUUUUAAAUUUUUUUCAUAAAUAUUAAUAAAAAUAAAUAAAAUAUUAUUAAAAAAACUCAAUAAUUGAAAUAAAUGUUAUGAUAAAAAACUUAAUACAUAUAAAAAAUUAAAAUUGAUCAAAACUCAAAAUAAUUAUAAUUAAAUUUAUUUUUAAUUAAUACAUAAUUGUAUUUUUGAUAUAUUUCUUUUAAUUAUUAUAAUUGUAUUUUUUUUUAAAAUUUGGACCCAUUUUUGAAAUUAGAACGGGGCCUCCGAUAUUAUUAGACCGCCCAAGUAUUUCAAUAGAUUAUAUUAUUUAUUUACUUGAGCAUGAAUGUGACUUAAGCAUUGAUGAGGAUUCAAUCUCAUUCACACAAGCCAUAGAAAAGUGCAAAGAAGGUUCUUAAGUACUUACAAGGCACCAAAGUUUAAAUGCUCACAUAUGGAAGGAAAAAUCACCUUGAAGUGGUAGACUACUUGGGUUUGAAUCUUUUGAGAUGUGUGGAGUCAAGGAAAUCCAUAUUUAUGUAUGUUUUCUUCUAACUAGAGGAGCAAUUUCAUGGAAGACUAGAAAACAAUCUAUCGCUUCUAGUUCUACUAUGGGGGAAUAAUUUGUGGCGUGCUUUAAGGCCACAAUUCAAUCAUUGUGGUUAUGGAACUUCAUCUUAAGGUUUGGCAUUGUCGAUAGUAUAGCUAGGCUGCUAAGAAUUUAUUGUGAUAAUUCUGCAACUGUCUUCUUCUCUAAGAGUGAUAAGUAUUCUAAAGGUGUUAAACAUAUGAAAUUGAAGUACUUAUCUAUGAAAGAAUAAGUGUGGAAAAAAGUGUCAUUUAAACACAUUGGUACAAAUUUAAUGAUAACGGGUCUUAACUAAAAGUUACGCCCAAGACAUUUGUUAUCCAUAUUAUGUUCUACACAUUAUUAUUAAUAUAUGGUGACAAGGAUGUCUUUAAAGAGACAUGAAAGUCACGUUAUUGUAUCCCUUAGAAUUAUUUGAAUUGGAUUGAUUCGUGAUACAUGGAAGAAAUGAAAUUGAUUAAUAACUUGUGACUUCCAUGAUUCAAUUAUUUUAGUUCAUUAAAGAUAAUGAAUUUGUGCUUUCAAUGAAUGGUGCACAAUUAUAGUAUAAGAUUGAAACAAUAAAUUGUCACAUGAGUCAAAUGUGAGAUUUUUGGAUUACUUUAUUAAUCCAUUAAAUAUGGCUCAUGUAAAUGAAAGUUUGACUUUAAAUAAAAGAUACCUUUAUGUGAUGAUUAUUUGUAUUUAUGGAUAAUUAAGAAAUGUGUUUUUUAUUUUGAAAUUCAAAAUACGAUUUAAAUUACUCUUCUUUCUCUUCAUGAAUAUAAGGACAAGACUAUUGAGAAUGAAUUGUAACCGUUGGAAUAAGAUGCCUAUAAAAUAGGUACCUUUAAGAAAGCAACAACAAUUUUUCUCAUUCUUUCUGAUCUCUCAAAAACAAAACAAAAUAGUAUCUUCAUCAUCAAAGAUACACAUAAAAGAAGAAGAAAGAGAGAAGAGAAAAUUUUGAAUAAAAAAAUCAAAUACCGGACAAGAAUUGUCGUCAUGUAUUCAUGUACAUUUUUUUAUUGUUUCUCAUAGAAAUUAAAUCACGGCGAAAAUCAUAAUAUCAAAACUUUAAAUUAAAAAUUUUCUAUCAGACAUCUCAUAUAGAGGUACUUUUUUUUGUAGGCAAUGUUUGAUUAAACGAGUACCCUUCGAAUCCCGAUUACAAAUUGAACCUACGAAGGAUUCCGGGCAAGAAAAAUUCAACACUAACAAAAGUUAAGGGUCACAAGAAAAAGGAUUCUUAUAGAAAUCAUAAAAACUAUCGUUGGCAUGUUGAAUAUUUCCUAAAAUGAUCCAUUUCCAAACUUUCGAUUUAAUGUUCCACAAUAAAUCUGAAAUGUUGUAGAUAGAACCGUUAAACAAAAUGUCGUUUCUGAGCACCCAUAGACUCCACAUGACUGCUAACCAGGGCAUCCCUAUUAUGCCUCUAUAGCCCUUUUUAAUCCUGCAGUUAUCCCUCCAUAGUAAGAAGUUCUGCCAAGCAGAACCGUUUCCCUCCACUUAAAUAUCUAACAAGGUCGUGAUGUUACACCAAACAAUCAUAGCAGUAGGACAAUAGAAGAAUAAGUGAUCCAGAUCUUGAACAUGCUUAUUACACAAGACGCAAACAUAGUCAUUUGAAGAUGAAAGUCCGCCUAUCGAUCUUAACUUAUCCUUCGUAGGUAACCUAUUAUGAAAGCUCCUCCAACCGAACGCUUGAACGCUAAAAGGGGUUUGAAUUUUCCACAAUAGGGUGAGAGGCUUGCUGAAAUCUUCAGUGACACGGGAGUGAUUUGCUACCUCCAAAAGAGUAUCAUAACCCGACUUUACCAUGUAACCAACCUCCGAGUCCAGAACCUAAAUGAACUUGUCAAUCAACAACUAGUUUGGACAAAAAUUGUCAUGAGUAGUCACUAGUUCCUACAACUCAGAUUUAAUUCCAAAACUGCCUCAACACCACCGGCCUUGCUGCCAGCUACCCAUGUCUGAUACUAUGUUGAACUUACUGCUACUGAUGUGAAAUAGCUUAGGGAAUCUAUCGGCAAACUUAACCGUGCCAGUCCAAGUUGCCGUCCAAAAAGGAAUCGAGGAUAUGUCGUUGAGCUUACAUAAGAUACUACCUACAAAACGAGAACCUUCAUACAGAGAAGAAGUAUCUACAUUCAAAACAUCCUUCCACCACGUUGAUUCAGGACGCCUUAUAUUGUCCAUUUGGCAUGAAAGGAUUAAAGCAUGAAUGUCACCAUACAGAACCGAAAGAAUCUUGCACCAUAACGCCUCAUUAUCGAGGAGGAUUCUCCAUUUCCACUUAAACAACAUAACCAAAUUGAAAAACUUUAAGUUUUUCACCCCUAAUAUGCCCAAGGAAAAAGGUUUACAAAUCUUUUCCCACCCCUACCUAAUGAAUGUUCCUCUUAUCUUCGUAAUCACCCCACAAAAACUACUUAUGAAUCUUCUCAAUAUCCUUCUAAAUCUUGGUCGGGGCUUUGUAAAAAGAGAGAAAGAAUUUUGACAAACUUUUCAAAACCGAUUUAAUCAAAGUAAUUCUACCGCCAAGAGACAAUGUCUUCCUUUUCCAUUUUGCAAGCCUCACUCUAAACUUAUCUACUAAAAGCUUCCACGGUUUGAUACAACGGGGAUUAAUUCCAAUUGGAAUCCCUAGAUAUAAGAACUCAUCUAGAGGUACUUAAAUAGACUAAAAUUCAUGUUGAUUAUAUUUUGUGGAUAUGAUACCUAGCUGUAUUUGGAUCAAAGACAUGUUCCAUGGUGAGAUAGCAAGUUACAAUGUAUGAAAGAGCACUUAUAUAUAUAUAUAUAUAUAUAUAUAUAUAUAUAUAUAUAUAUUAUAUAUAUAUAUAUAUAUAUAAUAUAUAGUAUAUACUUAGUAUAUAAUAUAUAUAUAUAUAUUAUUAUUACUAUAUACUAUAUAUCAUGUUGGUGUGUCGUGCUGUGUGUGUGUGUGUGUGUGUGCGCGCGCGUGUGCGUGUGUGUGUGUGUGCGCGUGUGCGUGUGCGUGUGUGUGCGUGUGUGUGUGUGCGCUAUUAGAUUCUAACUACAGUAAAAUGUGUUUCAUAUUCAUGAGUGCACGAAAUUACGAUCCUUCGCGAUGGUCGCAGAAAAAAUUGUUUCGAACAGAUUCACUAUUGAACUUUAUUUAUCCUAAUGAAGGAAUAGAAAAAUAUCAAUAAAAUCUUUAAAAAGAAAAGGAAAUGAUUGUCGCAAUCAAAUUCGGGUUCAAGAGUCGAUUACAUAAGGGGAAAGUAUUAACAUCUCUCACGUCUGUUAUACUCAACGUGAACCUUUUAGUUAAAUUUGCGAUUUGAAUGUUAGCUUAUGUCAUUUGUUUUAUUCGAAUGAUAAAAAGAUUAAAGAGAAAAAUGGGUCACAAAAAGGUUUUUUAUUAGGGUGUUUGACAAGAUUGCGAGUCUUGCUUCUACGUAUCCUUAGGUAUAAUGAAGAAUUCAAAGCGACAUAGUUCUGGAAAAAACAAAAGAUAUUUUUGGUAUUUUUUAUUAUAUUGCUUGACGAGACAAUGAAUCUCGUUCCUAGUUAUCUCCAGGUGCCUAAAUAAUCGAAGACCGAAGAAGGUAUAAACCCAAUCAAUCUUUUUCCUUCUAUAAAAGAACCAAACUUAAUUCUAAUAAUUAAAGUGUUUUAGAAUGGAAGACGAAUAUUCAGACAUAUAGCUCUAUGUAAGUUAGGAAUGAGCCUAAGAGAGGGGGGGGGAGGUGAAUUAGGACUUUUAGAAAUUUAUUCGGAUUUGGUGGAUAAGGUUCUUUUCUUUUCUGGAUUGGUAUGAUGUUGAAAGCGAUAAAGAGCAGAAACUAAAGAACACCAGGAAUUAUACUGGUUCCCCUCACAACUUGAGAGUACUCCAGUCCGCUUACAAUGUGUAAGAGAUUUUAUUAUUGUUAGAUCUCCUAAAUCAAGCCUCUAACUAAGUAAUCAAGAAAAAUCCUCUUGAAAACUUAACUCACAAGAAAAGAAAACAAUCCUUCCUUUUCUUGACACUUAUAUCCAACAAUCCUGGAUCAUAAGCAAUACACAUAAAACCAAACAAUCCUUGGUACUUAGGAUUUUACAAAGUAAUUGAAUGAAUAUAUGAAUAAUUGUAUUGGAUAAGAAUUUAAUCAAUUGAUUAGAAUCUUCUUCUCUUUCAAUAUGAAAUUUCAAAACAAAAUAAUCUCUAAGUACUCAAGAGUACUUUUGAAGAAAAUGAUAUGAAAAUUAUUUUUCAAAAGUAUCUUAAUAUGAGAAAUAGAUGAAAACGAAUGUAUAGAGAUUUUGAAAAUUGAUUUGAAAGAGGUGAAUUUUGUAAUGAAAAUAUAAGGAUUAUAUAUAGUAUGAAUUCAUCCCUUCAAUCAUAACAUGGCAAUGGUUAGAAUGGAAAUCAGAUAAUUGAUCAUGAAAAGAUGCAAGCUUUUACCAUGAAAAGUUAUGAUGAAAUAAUUUUUCAGAUUUUUCAAAAUAUUUCCAGCAUCAAUCGAUUGACACACAUAACCAAUCGAUUGACAUAACUAAAAAAUUGAAAAAAUAUACUAAGAUCAAUCGAUUGACAUACAUCAUCAAUCGAUUGGUCCUGCUUUAAAAAUGAAAAAAAAAUCUAAAACAGAAAGUUUGAUCAAUCGAUUGUAGCAAGGCAUCAAUCGAUUGACAUGACCAAAAUAUUGAAAAAGUUUCUAAGUUUAAAAAAAACUUUUGAACAUGCAUUUUUUAAACAUUAUAUUAAAAUAAAUAAUCAUGAUAGAAAAGGUUUAGAAUGAUCAUUUUAAUGUAUGGUAAAACUUUUGAGCACUAGGAGUAUAUUGUUAAGAACUCCAUAUACCUUUAUUAGAUCCAUGAAAAACUUGAACAAAGUUGAAUGAUCUUCUUUUUCCAUUCUUUUGUUAUGGAGAGCUUGAUAUGUUGUCUUCAUCAAAAUAUUGUAGGAAGUUUGUCUUCACAUUCUCCCCCUUUUUGGUGAUGACAACCAAUUUGAAGUUUGAACACAUACUCCCCCCCUAUCUUCUUAGAAAUGAUCACAUACAAAACUCCCUCUGCAUUAAGCAAUACAAGCAAAAAUACAUAUGCAAACAUCUUCUCCCCCUUUGUCAUAAUAAAAAAGAAGGGAAAAGAGACACAAUAAUAUCUAAGAUAAAAUUUAAGCAUUAAACCACACACAAACGAUGUUUAAAUCUUACACCACAAAUAACCAGAUAAGUCAUGCAAAUUAGAAACUAGGGAUGAUAAAAACAGAAUAAAAACAUAACAAAGUCAUAAAACACCAUAAGAUAGCCAAUUACUGAUUGUUGUUCCCAUCAUUAGAUCCACCACCUGGAUAGCCACCACCUUGAUAACCACCACCUUGAUAACUACUACCUUGAAAGCCAGCUUGAGACAACUCCCAACGAUCCAUUCUCGACGAUAAAUGACCAAUCUCGGUCAUAACAUCCGUGCAAAAUCCUUGUAGAUAGUCCAUUAUCAUUUGAUUGGAAGGUUGAUCUGGUUGAGUUUCUGUAGGCGGGUUAAACUCAUCAUCAUUGUUGGCUUCUUGUUGAGGUUCUUCAUCUUCAUUAUCCAGGUAUUUUAUCUCAUGAGUCCGAGGAUUGUAAAUGACUCCCAUCUUCCUAUUUGUCUGUUUGAUACUAAUCAUAAAAGAAGGUUUUUCCAUUGAAAAACACAACUCACUUUCCAGAUUAAUGUUGAAAUGUCGGAAAAUCUUGGUCAAUAGGUGAGCAUAUGGUAGACCCUCGGCAUGCUCGUCAUGAUACAUCAUAUGAGAUAGGAUCGAAUGUCCCAAUCAACAUGGAAGUGAGUUUUGAUGGAAUAGAGGAGCAUCAUUUCUGGAUCUGUUAUAGUGCAGUGAUUGGAAAAUCUCGGCACAACAACAUAUACCAGAAAAUAGUGUAACAUCCUAUCAUCAAUAGAAAACUUUGCUGGGGACCAGUAGACACGCUCCAGGUUAUCUCCUCCAAAACUCUUCUUCCUCUUGUUAUAAAAUUGAUGUUCGGACAACCAACUUAAACUAUAGUAAAAAACAUGUUUGCUAUAGUUUUCCCAUGGAGCAAUUGUCCCCACAAAUUUAUGACCACCAGGAGGGAUUUCAAAAAUAGCACAAAUAUCAGAUGCAGUUAAGGAGAUUAGGACUUCAUUCACCACAGAUGUUAAUUUCCCUUUCUUCUUUACCAUAUUGGAGUAGAACACCUUAACCAAUUCAGGGUAAAAAUUUAAAUGGCAACCAAUUAGGUCACUCAAACCCAAUUCCUGAAAGACACUAGGAAAGGUAAACACUUCCUCAGGAAAAGUAUCAAAAGUGCUAUACUUAGGCUUCAUGAUUUUAUUUUGGAAAAAGAAAGUUUCAUACCUUUCCUGUUGACUUCUUAUAGUGAAAAGCCUUGAUAAAUCAAGGGAGCCUCUAGAAGAAGAAGCUUUGCCUUUGCCUUUGCCUUUGGAUGAUAGUUGAGAUGCCAUGAAAAAAUGCUUCGAGAGAGAAAUAAAAGAUGAAGCAAAAACCAUUUGAAGAGAAGUGUAUAGGCAUGUGAAUGUUGAAUGUUGUUUGAGGAGAGAAGUGGCUUUAUGGUGGUGGUGGAUUGUAGUAAUGAGAAACAAGUAGUUGGACCAAGAAAAUUAAAAGCAAUGAAAGAAAAAAUAAAGUGACAUAAAGAGAGGGAAUAUAUUGGUAAAUGACAUUUACUAGAGAAUAGGAAAAGGAGAAAGAAUAGGAGAAAAAGAGGAAAAUGACAAAAUAAUAGUAAAUGCAAUAGGAAAAUUGUAUCAUUAAAAUCAGAAAUCACAUGGCCAUAAUUAAAUAAAGUGUGGAAGAGAAUCAUGCGCAUGUUGACCAAAUAAAACAAAAAUUUUAAUGGAUCAAUCGAUUGACAUGCAAGACCAAUCGAUUGGUUAUGUAAAAAAGUUGAAAAAUAACGAAGACCAAUCAAUUGAUGUGGGAGAUACAAUUGAUUGGUUGAAAACAAAUUUAUAAAAAAUAAAUAAGGAACCACCCGAUUGACUCAACCAUGUAAUCGAUUGUAGAAACUUUUUGUAAAAUGAAAUUUGAGAAAUUAAGAGGGACCAAUCGAUUGACACCCUACCAUCAAUCGAUUGACACCAAAUUUUCUUUGACAAAUACUUAAAUUAACACAUAAACAAGCACACUUAUCAUAACAAAAACAUUUUAAUAGUUGUAAAUAAUUAAUUACUAAAUAUUAAAAGAAAGAGUGCACCUUUUAAAUUUUGAUGAGUUAUAUAUCACACUCAUCUAGAAUCCCAAGUUCCCUUCGAAUUUUGUAAAACGGUUCUCGCGCCAAAGGUUUUGUGAAGAUGUCGACAAGUUGAUUAUGAGUAUCCAUAAAUGUGACUUCGACAUUUCCUUGAAGCACAUGAUCACGAAGAAAAUGAUGUUGAAUAUCAAUAUGUUUGGUUCUUAAGUGCAUGACCGAAUUCUUUGUAAUGUUUAUCGCACUUAUGUUGUCACAAAGAAGAGGAAUGCAUCCAAGAUCGAGUCUGUAGUCACGAAGUUGUUGCUUAAGCCAAGGUAUUUGAGCGCAACAGCUACCUGCUGCUAUGUAUUCCGCUUCGGCUGUGCUUAGAGCAAUACAUGCUUGUUUCUUGCAAGCCCACGAUACUAAUGCAUUUCCAAGGAUGUGACAUGUACCACUAGUACUUUUUCGAUCAGUUUUACAUCCUGCAUAGUCAGCAUCAGAAUAACUAACUAAUUUGCAAAUACUACCUUUAGGAUACCAUAGGCCGACAUUUGUUGUUCCCUUGAGAUACUUGAUGAUCCUUUUAACAACGGUGAUAUGUGAUUCUUUUGGAUUUGCUUGAAAACGAGCACAAAGACACACACUAAACAUAAUAUCAGGACGGCUUGCCGUUAAAUAAAGUAAGGAACCAAUCAUACCUCGAUACUUUGUCAUAUCAAUCGAAACAACUGAUUCAUCUUGAUCAACAUAAGAUCCGAAUCCCAUCUGAGUAGACAUUGCCUUGAAAUUAUCCAUGUCGAAUCUUUUUAACAACUCUUUGCAGUACUUUGAUUGGUUGAUGAAGAUGCCAUCCUUCAGUUGCUUAAUUUGAAGUCCAAGAAAAUAAUUUAUUUUACCCAUCAUGGACAUCUCGAAUUCUCCUUGCAUCAUUGAUGAAAAUUCUUCACACAUGUCUUUGUUUGUUGAGUCGAAUAUGAUGUCUUCAACGUAGACUUGAACCAAUAAAGUGUUACCUUUAAUUUUCUUAAUAAAUAGGGUUUUAUCAAUUUUACCUUUUUCAAUUCCCUUUUCACAAAGAAAGUUGUUGAGACGAUCAUACCAUGCUCUAGGUGCUUGCUUUAGGCCAUAAAGAGCUUUCCUCAAUUUGAAAACAUGUGAAGGAUUUUUGAAGUCUUCAAAGCCCAGGGGUAUGCUUUAGGCCAUAAAGAGCUUUCCUCAAUUUGAAAACAUGUGAAGGAUUUUUGAAGUCUUCAAAGCCCAGGGGUUGUUUGACAUAGACUUCUUCAUUGAUGUAGCCAUUCAAGAAUGCGCUCUUGAAAUCCAUUUGAAAUAAUUGAAAAUUUAAUGAACAUGCAUAAGCAAGUAAUAAAUGCCUUCCUCUUGAUUGUAUCCUUGGGCCACCGAUCUUGCUUUGUUUCGAACAAUUAUACCAUUCUCAUCAAGCUUGUUCUUAAACACCCAUCUGGUACCGAUGAUGUGUUUAUCACUUGGCCUAGGGACAAGUUCCCAAACUUGAUUCCUUUUGAAUUAGUUUAACUCUUCUUGCAUAGCAAUUAUCCAUUGGUCGUCACUUAAGGCUUCAUCAACCUUAGAAGGUUCAAUUUGUGAAACAAAAGCUAUAUUAAGCAUGCAUCUUUGAUAUUUAAUCUAGUUGCAACGCCUUGACUGAUAUCACCAAUGACUUUAUCAAUUGGAUGAUCCCAAUGAGUUCUCCAUUCCUUAGAUAAAUCAUUAUCAUUUGCUUCUUGCUCGUCUUGAUGUUUUGGUUGAUCACCAUUGUUUCCAUUUGAAGUAUCUAUUUGAGAGACUUCUACAAUAUUAUCAUCAUCACCACACAAAACAAUAUCCUCCUUGGAGGGGUUAGAUUCAUCGAAAGUAACAUGCAUUGAUUCUUCAAUUUUUAAAGUUCUUUUAUUAUAUAUUCUAAAAUCUUUACUAGUAAGAGAAUAUCCAAGAAAUAUACCUUCAUCGGACUUCUCGUCGAACUUACCUAGAUUGUCUUUGUCAUUGUUGAGGAAAAAGCAUUUGCAUCCAAAAAUAUGAAAGUAAGAUAUGUUGGGUUUCCUUCCUUUGAAGAGUUCAUAAGGAGUCUUUUUCAAGAUAGGUCUAAUAAUAAUUCUAUUACUUACAUAGUAUGCCAUGCUUACUGCAUCUGCCCAAAAGUACUUUGGAAGAUUUGAGUCGCUUAGUGUCGCAUCCGCGAAAAACAACCGGCGGGCUAAAACAAAACAACACAGAGCCGCCACCGUGCGUUAUUUAUCCCAAAAGAGGGAAAGGAAACGCUCGAAGUAAACCUGGAAAAGACAUGGUCUCAGCCACCGUGCGUUAUUUAUCCCAAAAGAGGGAAAGGAAACGCUCGAAGUAAACCUGGGAAAAGCAUGGUCUCGCGACCAAAGAGAAUGGGAUCGGGAGUCGGUUAUGCGAAGGGAAGGUAUUAGCACACCUACGCAUCCGUCGUACUCGACGGGAUCCACGCUCUAAAAGAAAGAAAAGGUUGCUAAACAAACAUCACACACACACACACUGAAGAUAACACAGGUGGGGGAAGAGGAAGAGGGCUCGCUAGGAUAUCGCGUCCUAUGCCUACGUAUCUCGUCUGGAACGAGAAUCAGAGCUGCCGUAGUUCGGCUCACGCACGCCAAACUAGACACACACAAACACGGGCAAACAUGGAACCUGAACGCCAAUCGCUGGACUUACAUCGGCUUCCGAACCAAACAAACACACUCAGGAUACGGACAACCAAUCGCUGGUCUUACAUCCAUAUCCUGGCACACAAAAGGGUUAACAAGCAAACACACACAAAAAGAAAAAAAAGUGCCCGGAGAGACCUCGCACGGUCUCCUGCCUACGUACCUCAUCUGGUAUGAGGAUCAGGGCGACGUAGUUCCCCUGAACGGGAAAGAAAUUCUAACCAGAUACAANAGGCCAAUGUAACAGUAAAAACCAGCUGGAGCAAGUCACUUUGAUCAUUUGUGAUGUGUUGGAAUAGGCUUUGUGUGCAAAAUCCAUGUAAUUUGAAAAUUCACCAUUUUUCCCACCAAUUUUCAAAUAAUCCACUUGAAAAAUGACCUUUUGCCAUGAUCAUUUUUGAUGAAAUGUGACCAUGCAUCAUGAAAGUACAUGUGAAAUGGGGUUUUCUCAAAGAAAGAUCAUCCAAUUUGGCCAUUCCAUGUGAAAGUUAUGCCACUUUGAAUUUAGGCAUUUUUGGAAAAUGAUUUGAUCACAACUUGCCAACCACACAUGAGAAAUGAGUAUUCUUGGACUUUUUGGAAAGGUGAGAGCAAGAUCUACAACUUUCAUGUUGGACCAAAUUUCAUUUGAAGCAUUUUUGGACACGUAAUUUUGAGGUGAAAAACUUUCCAUUUUUGGCAGUUUCCAAUUACAGGUCCCCUGCCAUUUUUGGAAACUUUUCAUCUGACUUUAUUUUCUUCAUUAUGGAUGUUUGAAAUGCCAAAUGAAAUUUGUUUCAACAUGAAUGAAGUGUAUCCAACCCUCUCCCACCUCCAAAUCCAUCAAUUCAAGCCCAGUUGACCACAAUUGACUUUUCUGACUGAUAAAUGAAUUUGGCUAUGCACUGAUCCAGUUGAGCCUCAAACUCCUGAUGAAAUGGCUCAAUGAUGAAACCCUAGCUUCCAUAAGCUCAAUAUAAUCACAAAAUGAUCCCCAUAUCCAUUGAAAACCUCAUCUCCUCGCCAAGCCCUGAUUGGCCCAAUGCAGAUGAUUAGGGUUGACCAGUGGUCAAAACCCUAAUCCCAAGGUAUCUGAUCAAUCUCUUGAAUCUCUUGGAUGAUAACAAGACCAUGACGAUGAUGUAUAAUUUCAACCAAGAUCAAGCUCAAUCUCCUUGAGAAAUCAUGAAACCCUAAUUUGAACCCCCACCCUCAGAUAGUUAGUGAUCAGUCCAAUGAAACCCUAGCUUGCAUACAUCAACCUUUUAUCUUCUGACCAAGACCUAGGAGGAUGAAUUGCUCCAUGUUACCACAUGAUAUGCCAAUAUGCAAUGCCUAAUGACCUACAAAUGAUAUGCAAAAAUGCAAAGCUAGUCCCAAGAGAGGAGGGCAAAUUUUGAGGUGUUACACUAACUAUCAAUAUAGCGAUCUUUAAUGCUUAAUACCAAAGAAGAGUAAUGAAUAAAUCUAUCUCUACAACUUAUUCACUACUUGAAAAUUUGUUUUAUGUCAAGUGAGUUUAUUAGAGAGAGCUGUUGAUGAGUUUAGACCAAAUCAACUUAGGGCAAAAACAGUAUUCAAUACAUCAACAAUCUUUAUCAUAUAUAUAAAUCAAAUGGAAUACAUAAACAUAUGAGAAUAACUACUACCUCCAAUCUUGACAAAGGGGAGUUUAGCUCCUCAUCAUCAUUGUUCAAAGCAGAAAUUUAAAGAAGAAAAACUCUGUUUUUCUCUCUUACAAAAAACUCUCAAUAUCAAUGUGUGAAUGAUAAUGAAUAUGUGAAUAAUAUGUUUUUCUCUCCUAAAAGAGUUGACAUUUCCUUAAUUGAUCAUUUCCAUCCAAAGAAGAAAAGCUAUCCCAAGGCAGACACCAAAAUGGUAAAACCAGCUGGCCUUCAAAACAGCACUUUUGACCCAAAAUCAACUUGCUGGAUUCGCAGGGUUCGCGGGGUGAACUAUGUUCGUGGCGCGAACUGACACUGUCAUUCAGUUCGCGGGGCGAACUUUGUUCGCGGGCCGAACUGAAGCUGCCUCAGUUUCCUUGCUUUGCAAGCUUCAUCCAAAAUCUUCCAUAUAAAAGUGUGUAAUUACAUCAAAACUUGGUAAAAGGAACCAAUAAAAUGAUAUAAAAAGUAGUACCAAUUGGUCCCUAACAGGUACUGACAGAGUACGGCAUCCAGUAUACUUCCCAGAAAGCCAUCAAGGGGAGUAUUCUGUCAGACUAUCUUGCUCAACAGCCGGUUGAAGAUUAUGAGCCGAUGAAGUUUGAUUUUCCAGAUGAAGACAUCAUGUUCCUCAAGAUGAAAGACUGUGAAGAGCCAGUUGNAAAAAACAAAAAACCUAAAAAUUUUUUAGAGAUUGAGGGCAUUUCUUGGAACAAUAAUAUAUAGCCGAACCAUAUUCGCUACCGAUUUCAUCCUCCGCCCAUGUUCCGUCCAACAAAAAGCACCUACAACCACUUCUUCGGAAUUGAACAAGUCAAGUAGAUGCUUCUUCCUCGUUCCUCCCUAUCGGCUGUUCCCUUUUUCUUCGUUAUGGGCUAUGGAGCUCCAAUGUUCUUUCAAUUCAGGUCAGAAGUGAAGGCUUCUUCGUUCUUUCCUCCAUGCACUAGAAUCACACAAAACAAAAAAACCAAGUAAAACAAAGAGGGAUAGUAAAAUUGUAACACAACUAAAACACAGAAUUAUUGCAUGCUGUAAUUACGACACCAUCCCGGCAACGGCGCCAAUUUUUAAUAUAUUGUCGAGCAAAAUAUUUUUAUAUCAUAUCCACAGAGAUUGAGUUGAUUAUUACCCUUCCAUAAUCAAUGUUAUAAGUUAGAGAUAACAAGUCGUUUCGUGGGAAGUUUCUGUGUAGUAAAUCACUAUAAACCAGGGUUAAAAUGUUUAUCUAAUGAAAAGCUAUGGCAAUGGAGUCACAUUUCCAAAUGCUUAUGAUUCCUUAUUAUAAAAUAAAUAGAUUCAAAUGAUGAUGAGUUCACAGUAUCCUUCUCAAAUCAUUUAUGUCUAAAUAACAUUUGAUAAUCACAUCCCUAUUAUCCUUACGAUCUUCACCUAACUGGUCGCAUCCCCGUGAAAAAAACCCGGGCUAAAACAAAAACAACACAGACCCCACCGUUGCGUUAUUUAUCCCCAAAAAGGGAAAGGAAACCCAGUAAACCUGCGGGAAAAAACAUGGUCUCCAACCAAAGAGAAUGGAAUCGGGAUCGUAAUGCGAAGAGGAAGUAUAGCACACCUACGCGAUCCGUCUACUCACGGAUCCACGCUCUAAAAGAAAGAAAAGGGUUGCUUAAAACAAACUCACACACACACACACUGAAAUUAACAGUGGGGAAGAGGAAGAGGCGUCCUAAUACCGCGUCCAUGCCUACUAGUCGUCUGGAACGAGAAUCCAGGCUGCCGCAGUUCGGCUCCGCACGCAAACUAGACACACACAAACACGGCAAAUCAUGGAACCUGAACGCCAAUCGCUGGACUUACAUCCUUCCAACCAACAAAACACACUCAGAUACGGACAACAACGCGUCUUACAUCCAUAUCCUGCACAGCAAAAGGCUGUAACAACAAACACACACAAAAAGGAAAAAAAAAAGUGCCGAGAACCUCGCUACGGUCUCCUGCCCUACUACCUUCACUGGAAUGAGAUCAGGCGACGUAUUCCCCGGACGGGAAAAGAAAGACAAUUUUAUACUUCAUAACCAGAGUUUAAAAACAAUACAAAAGGAGAAGACAACUACUAAGAGUUACUUGACUAUAAGCUAAGGUAUUCAUUGCUAUCAUGCAUGUUUAUGGUUCAAUCUUACUUGACACAAAGCAAAAAAACUAAUCUAACCUAGGAAAAAAAAAAAAAAAAAAAAAAAAAAAAAAAAAAAAAAAAAAAAAACAAAAAAAAAAAAAAAAAAAAAAAAAAACAGCAUGCAAAGCAUAAGCAAAAAAGCAAACUCACAUUUAGCACCACACUAUAUCCAAUCAAAAAUGGCCGCUCAAACAGGUCAGACUCCAAAAGGCAAAUCUCGGUACAAGGGCUAGGGUAUGUUUAGCUCUUACCCUGACAUGAGAAUCAUGAUUGUGUGAACCAAGGAUACGAUGUGAGUAGAUAGACUCACAGCUCUUAUCCCUGAGGAGAGCUCAACAAAGGCGUGUCGAGUUCAGAAAGGGAACCUUCUACACUCAAGAACUCUUUGACUCGACUGUACAAUUGUUUGACAAACUUGCGUUUUUAAUCCCAAUGCAUAAACACAGAUGAGCAGAGGGUACGAUCUCAAACAGUAAUAAUAGCGGGAAAUAGAUGCAUACUCCUAUCCCGCCAGCCUUAAUCAAGUCCUUCCCUGCCUGGGACAAAGUAAACAAUCACAAACAUCUCGCUACUUAAGGAAGGACUCUCAGACAGUGCGCAAAGAACAGGCCAGUCUUCCCAGACUACAUGGGAGACAGAAGAGAGGUCUACCCAUGUGUCUAUCAACCCAAGCAGCAGCACAAAGCAAGUUCAAAAAACUUCGGGUCUUUAGCGACUCUUAAAAACAAUACGCUGAAAUCAAUCUAAAUUCCAGUCAGAUGAUAAUCACAAAGUCAAAACACAGCAUAAGAACACAACAACAAUGUAAUAAUCAAACAAUUUGCAAUGUGCCCCAAGCACAAUCAAACUCAAGUGAAGCCAAGCACUACCAAAUGAACAAGUUAGGGUUCAAAAAUUAACCCAAAUCAAACCUCAAUAACUUGAAGGCAUCUCCUUAAGGCAUUUGCAUCUAUCAACCUGAAAAGCCAAACUCAAAUAUGAGAAACAAACACUAGACAAGCCUAGGUUCCAAAAGAUGAAAAUCCAAAACAGCAAUGAAAUUUAUUCCAUAAAUCACAAUCAAACAUUUAGAACAAAACCAAUUGCCAUGCUCAUAUCAUUCAUAUCAUCAUCAUAAAAAAAACACAAAAAUGUUAUUUGCAACCUUCAAAAAGGGGCACCAAAACAGAAUAUUCUUAAUCAAAUCCAAACACAUCAAAAACAUUUCAAUAAAUUCCACGCAAAAAAAUUCAGGAGCUAUAAAAACAAAAACACAUUCAAUGAAUAGCAUUAUAUCAAAAUUAAUUCAGGAGAAGCGUCGGGCCCCCCCUUCCACCGCUGCCCACAAAAUUGGAUUCGAGGAAAGUAUGGGAAAAUUAAAUUCCACUAAGUCCCAGACCAAAGUUCAAGCAAACCAACAACAAAGGCAUAUCCAAAUAAACAAUCCAUCAAACUUCCAAUUCUCAAAUCAAUUAAAACAAGAAAUGAAAUUAUGAAUUAAAUGAAAUGUAGUCGAAAAUCGAAAGAAACGAGGUAAUAAAAUUUAAAUUAACCAUCAAUGACCUAUUAAUGUGUCUACCAAUGCUCCCAUUAACCAAAUUUCACCACUUCAUUCAAUAAUCAUGACCAGAAAUUCACAAAAGCAAAAUAUCAACAGUUUAUCCACAAUAAUAUCAAAACAAAAAUGAGAUCCAAAACAGAGGAAAAAAAAAAAAUUCAAUUCAAAUAGGAAAAAUUCCAUCAAAAAUGAAAUCCAGAGAACCAAUUCUUCAUGUAUCUUAACAGAUUCUAUAUUUGCUUCAAUUAUCGCCAAAAUAAAAAAUUGGCUCAAAAUCCAAGUCCCUAAGCCACAUCAAAUAAAAUUCAUGGAGAAAUCCCACCCCAAAGCAAUGGUGUGACACAAAAUUGUCAGCCACCUCUAAUCAAAAAUUUCAUAUCUCAUCAACCAGUAAUCCAAAAAAUUGCAAAACCACAUAUCAAAAUCACCAGGCAAAGGAGUCCAGAAAUCAUAGCCACACAAAAUUUCCAAUGGGAAUUCUAUGGGAAGGCAUCAUCCAUUAUGAUGAAAUGCCAAAAAAACCAUACACACACAUAUGGAGGCAUUACAUUCCAAACAUCCCCUAGCAAUUUAUUUUUCCCCACAUGCAACCAAAAAUUAAAUAAAAAAAUUUCAGCCAUAAAAAACCUACACAUUCACAGGGAGAAUAAUGCAAAAAAUCUCCAUCAAAUUGGACAAAAAAACUGAAUGAAACUUAUGGAUUUUUGAACAUGUGAUUCAAAAAUGAAAUAAUUAAAUGACAAAAGAAAGUGAUGAAAAAUAAUCACCAUAAAUUAUAAUGAAAAUAAUGGCAAAACUUAAAUAUGCUUGCAACGAAAGCAAAACGCGGUCUUUUCAUUUAAUUAUGGGUGCUACGAUGGCUUGCAUGCGGAUGGCGGAAAACAACGAAUUCAAAUCAUUGGCAAGAAAUUUGAAGGAUUUAAACGCAUCCUGAAGCAGCGUUUUUUCAUCCGUUCUUCCACAAGGAAAAAUUCCAGGGGAAGAAAUCAAAAAUGGCAAAAAUCUCAACCAAAAUUCAUUCAUGCAUUACAUCAAUGUGUUCCGUCCUUUCAACUGGAUUUCAUGGAUUUAUGGCAAGCAUUAUGACCUAGAUUCAACGGUAUCGACGGGGAUCGAUCGAGGAAAAGGGGGAAAGAAAAAAAAUAAGGUUUCCACAUCAAAUGUUCAAAUCACGAAUAACUAGAGGCAAUUCCAAUGGAAAAUUCAAUUUACAAAGUUGCAGUUAUGCAGCAAGAAAUGAACUAUCAAGACACAUCAUGAUUUUGAGGAAUUCACGAGAUUCCGAGUUUCGAAACCUUGUGGUGAUGGCAGUGUUUGUAAAUCGCGAUCUUCAAUGUCCAUAAAAAAAGCCAAAACAAUGAGGAAGACAAUGGAUGGGAAGUUGAUUGCAACAAAAGCAAGCUCAGCUCAAAAAAGAUGCUUCAUAAUCCGAAGAAUCAUGAAAAUUGCCAUGGAUUGUGGAGGUUUCAACAGUCCUAAUUCCUCCAAUUUCUUGGGCCUUGAUGGCCCAAAAAAAAUCGGCAGCAAGCCUUGGUCGGUAUGGAUUCCAACAGAAUCAAAGGCAAUUGGAUGAGAAAUCAAGGUAAAUGAUGAAAAAAAAAGUCGUGUGAAAAAUUGGAAAAUUGAGGAGUUUUUGAGGAAAAGUUGGUUAAUCUUGAGAAAUGUUUGAAGUGUAUCUUAUUCAAAUCUAUGUUUUACAAUUAAACUCUUAUACCAAUCGCUUACCACCUUUACUAAAUCACAACUUAGCAAAAAAUCAAACGAUGAAUUAUUGGAAAGCAAACUUUUAUGUAAAAAUAUCAAAAAACCUUUUGCAAAUUAGGCCAAUGUAACAAGCUUUAAAAACCCACUGCCCUGGGAAGCCAAUCACACUUUGAUCAUUUGUUGAUGUGUGAAUAGGCUUGUGUCAAAAAUCCAUUGUAAUUUUGAAAAUUCACCGAUUUUUUUCCCACAAAUUUCCAAAUUAAUCAUCUUUGAAAAAAAUGACCUUUUGCCAUGAUCAUUUGAUGAAAUGGACCAUCAUUCAUGAAAGUAAGCAUGUAAAUGGGUUUCCUCAACAAAGAAAAUCAUUCAAUUUGGCCAUCCAUAUUUUUGUGAAAAUUUAUGCCAACUUUGAAAUUUAAUCAUUUUUAAAAAUGAUUGUGAUUUCAACAACUUGCCAACCACACAUGAGGAAAUGAUAUUUCUUGGACUUUUUGGAAAGGUGAGAGCAAGAUCCUACAAACUUUCCAUGGUUGGACAAAUUCAUUGGAAGAUUUUUGGACCCAACGUAUUUUAGGUUGAAAAAACUCUCCAGUUUGUUUGGCAGUUUCCAAUUACAGGUCCCCCUGCCAUUUUGAAACUUUCAUCUGAACUUUAUUUCUUCAUUUCUAGGAUGUUUGAAAAAAUGGCCAAAAAUGAAAUUAGUUUCAACAUGAAUAUGAAAGUGAAUCAACCCUCUCCCAACCUCCAAUCCAUCAAUCAAGCGCCCAUGACCACAAUUACUUUUCUGACUGAUAAAAUGAAUUUGGUAUCACUGGAUCCAGUUUGAAGGCUCAAACUCCGAUGAAAAUGGGCUCAAUGAUGGAAAACCCUAGCUUCUAUACUCAAUUAUGAUCACAAAAAUGAUCCCCAUAUUCCAUUGAAGAACCUCAUUCUCCUCGCCAAGCUCCUGAAUUGCCCGCAAGUAUGUAUUAGUUGUCACCAUGCUCAAGUAGAAAAACCCUUAAUCCCAGGUAUUCGAAUUCAAUCUUCUUGAUUCCUUAGAGAUAUAACGAAACCAUGACGAUGAUUAUAAUUUCAACAAGUUACAAGCUCACUAUCUCUUGAGAAAUUCAUGAGAUACCUAAUUGAACCCCACCUCCUCAGUAGUUUGAGUGGAUCCAGUUCCAAUGAAACCCUGAGUCUGAUACAUCAAUAAACUUUUCAUCUUCUGCACCCAAGACCGUACGAGGAUGAAGCUGCUCCGAUGGUUACCCACAUGAUAUUCCAAUCAUUGCACAUGCGCCUAAUAUCCUACAAAAAUGUAUAUGCCAAAAAUGCAAACUGAUGCCAAAAGAGGAGGCAAAUUUUGAGGUUACAGCUACACUAUUCAAUAUAUCGAGUCUUAAUGCUUAAUACCAAAGAAGAGUAAUGAAUAAUAUAUAUUUUCUCUACUCUAACUUAUUCACUUACUUGAAAAUUUUAUUUUUAUUCAAGACUCAAAUAAGUCUCUUCCUGACAGACUUACCAAAUCGUGGUUUUCAACUGUAGGGCAAAAAAAAAACAGUAUUCAAUACAUCAAAACAAUCUUUAUCAUAUUAUAAUAUCAAAAUGGCAAUUACAUAAUAACCAAUAUGACAAUAACUACUACCCAAAUCUUGACAAAGGGAGUUAGCUCGCUCAUCUCAUAUUUUCAAUAGCAGGAAAUAUUAGGAAAGAAAAAACUCGUUUUCUUCUUACCAAAAGAAACUAUCAAUAUCAAUGUGUGAAUGAUAAUCUGUUGUGGGGAAAAAUAGUAUAAAGUUUUCUUCCUAAAAAGAUUGACAUUUCUUAUUGACUUCUUUCCAUCCAAAGAAGAAAAAAGCUUCCCAACGGCUCAGGACAAUGUAAAAACCAUGCUUGUUCCUUUCAAAAAUACGAGCCACUUGUUGGACCCAAAAAUCAACUUGGCUAGGGGAUUCGCAAGGAUUCGCUGGGUGUGAACUAUGUCGUGGGCGCGACACGCACAUUGUCAUUCAGGUUCGCGUCGGCGGAACUUUGUUCGGCUGGUUCCGAAAUCUGAAACUUGGCCGUCAAGUCCUUGCUUUGCAAGCUUCAUCCAGAAUUAUCUCAUAUAAAAUGUGUAAAUUUACAUUCAAGAAAACUUGGGUUAAAAGAAGAACAUAAAAUGAUUAUUACAAAGAGUCCUUAUACCAAUGGGUCCCUAAGUACACAGAGUACGGCAGUCCAGUAACUUCCCAGGAAAGACCAUCAAUGGAGAGUAUCUGCUCAACUAGUUCUGCUAAAGGCCGGUUUGAAGAUCUAUGAGCGUCAUAAGUUUGAUUUCCAGAUGAAAACAAUGAGUCUUCAAGAUGGAAAAGACUGUGAAAGAGCCAGUUUUUCUGCAGGAAGGGACCUGAAUCAGACGAAAAUGGACUUUUUGUUGAUGGUCCGUCAAACGGCUUAGAGGAAAGGAAUUGAUGUUGCUUACAAGAGACACUCCGCCACAUAGCUCUUCACCUCGUGCGAACUUUUCAGGAGUCACCCAAUAAUUGCAAGCUCGAGUAUAAGUUACUGCAUGUAUCAUGUUUGAGCAACCCAUGUAAUUUGGAGAGAUCAAGACUUUAGACAUCUUCGGAGCAUUUCAGCUCUGUAACAUCAACUUGCGUUAAUGGUGAUUAGCGACACUCGCCAGCCUACUCUGCCCCUAUAGAAGAUUACCACAAUGGAAAGACUUACUUUCUUCACCAACAUAACAAAAUUGGUACCAUAUACCUCUUCGAUAGAACCCAGAAUGGCAAUCUCCCUGGGCUUUACUCUAUCCUUCCAUAUAUCAACGUGAUCUCGUUGAAAAACCAAUGGCUCCCAAAAGUCAACUUGCAUGCGCCUUGAUGGGGCCGCAUAAUAUCAGUAUUGCUAUCUGAAACUAGUACCCAGGUUGACGAAACAAAAGCCUGGUAAUCACGACAUCAAGCUUCUGAAGAAGCAAGAUACCCACAGGGCAUCCAAACAAUGAUAGGAGACUUAGAAAGAUUCGCAGGCAGCUUCUUCUUAACAAAGACGAUGUCCAUAAUGAGAACUUCAACAUGGUUUUGCUCAAGCGGGACAGACACGAAGCAGACAUAUUAAUGCAAAGUCAAUAGGACUCCUCAGCUCAUGCCGCGGACAUCAGGCUAAGAAAUUGUUGAACAGUACUUACGGCCAGACCAUGGAAUCUGAGUUUCAAAUAUGCCGAAAUGCCAAAAAGCCAGAUUAGCGAUAAUGCAUGUGCCGCCGAAUCCUUGAAUUGAUGUACUUUCGCCGUGCCUUUCCUUAUGUGGCAUCUAUAUGAUUGAAAUGAGUCCGACCGCUGUCAAUCCAUCGCGUCAUCCUUGUGCCCAGCGACUAUUUCACCAAGUGUCAAGCAACAUCUUCCGAAUUGCACCAACACUUGGCUCCGAUCAUCAAGAAAGAAAUCACUUUCGCUAUGGGAUCCCGAACAAAAUCCAUUACUGAUAAUGGUUUUAAUCUCAACAACAAAUAUGAGAAGGAGUGUGCCAGAAUUCAACAUUAAUCAUCACAAUUCUUCCCUUACCGCCCUAGAGGAACGGUUCCUGUUAACGCAAAAAAAAUAAAGAAGUAUUGAGAUAGCAUAGUCGGUUACUACAGAUUGGCAUGAGAUGCUACCCUUCCCUGAGUACCCUACUUCAGACGUAAUCGAUCGGGCAAACCCCUACCCCGUGAUGUAUGACGCAAGUCCUAUCCUGUUGAAGUUGAUUCCUUUCUCUAAAUUCCUCUUGAUGUCAAUUAGACGAAGCGGAAUGUAUUCGGACAAGUUCCAUGGCUUGCUAUCGAAGAGAGCAAUGCAGCCAAUUUUACAGAAUGGCAGCUAUCAAAGUCAUAAGGAGAGCUUUAAUCAGAAUAGAAAGUGCUCCUCGAUCUUCCAGCGAGUUGGAUGUUGAAAGAUCCUCCUCCAUCAACAGAUCACAUGGGCAAGUGGACUCCUAACUAUAUGGACCGUUAUAUGUCACCAAUUCUUUGAGGCUGGGCAUUAACUGCUGCAACAUGAUGUGAAAACACUUCACUUCCCCAGAACUCAACGCUGUUAAAAAAUACUUCGCAUAAAUAGACCCGCGGACAAUAACAAAGAUUAUUCCAGCAAAAAUUGUGCAUCCCAGCGAACCAAAGAAAAUGAAAAAGGUUCGGGCAAAAAUAUAGGAAUUAAAAAUGAAAAGAUUUGUACACCCGUAAAGUGAAAACCUUUAAAGGCAACUUAGGCAAAAAAUGUAUCCCGGUGGAUUUAAAACCCAACAAGGGGGCGAUCUAUGGCAAAAGUUUAGGUAUAAGCACAUGACUGCGUUCUUAUAUGUUCUAAUCUCAUUCUCGUGUCAAGACUGAAACUUUCUGAAUGAUUAGCGAAACAGUCCAAUCACUCUUCGAACAGCGGAUCAUCUGGAGAUCUUGAAGACGAGCAGUCUAUCAGCAGAAUUGAACCCAAUAAAAUCCCAUCACAUUGUCAUUUAGAUAGUCUGUUAUCUGUUGGCCGAUUCUCUUCCAGGGAUUGCGUCCCGAUGUAAAUGCCUAUUCAGAGGCCUUCAAGCAAUAAAAUCAUGUAUUCAUAUUAUUAUCCGUUUUCACUUAUUUUUUUUUGUUACAUAAAUACUCCAUUUUUAUAAACAUUCUGCAUCAGACACAUAACGAGCUUACAGGUACAUGCUUAAGAACAUUAAAAAAUUUUGUAAAUUUUAACGUGACUCUGUCGUCUUUCAUGAACAACAGGUACCCUCGGGGCAUUUCCUUAAAAUCCCCUGCAGAUGAUCGUGAAUGUUUUCCCCAACAGACGAAUUCGGUAUCUUAUCCCUGCAGAGCUGAUCAGAGCAUUGGAUUCUUCAAUCCCCAGCAAGUUCUCACCACUGUACCUCCCCCUAAGCGGUGGUUUCAGAUUAUACACUCCCCAGUAGAGUUGACAGUGUCAGACUAUAUACCCCCAUCGGAGUUGACAGUGCCAGACUGUAUCUUCCCAGCAGAAGCGGCUGCUCCUCAGAGUUCGAGGCCAGAUCGAUAAUCCCAAUGCCAGAUCCAUGGUUUCUUUCCCUAAAGCAGAACCUCGGUACUGUAUCGGUGUUUGCUUCCCCUGCUGAGUCAUCUCUUGCAGAUCGUGGUUGCCAGAAUCACUAUCGCUUUCCCCAACAACAGGUUUUCAGUGUCGUUCUCUCCCUAAUCAGAAUCUCGGUAUUUCGUCAUUGCUAGAACACCGUGUGGCGGGUCAUUUCCCCACAGAAUUCUUUGCGCUGUGCAUCUCCAGCAGCCUUGCCAGGGUCCAGAAGAUGGUGAUCAUUUCCCCAGCAGAUCCCCUUGCCUCAGCUUGGCAUUCUACCCAGCAUUUCGCAUCCCUGCAUGUAGAAUCAUAUUGCAUUGCANNNNNNNNNNNNNAGUACGCCUCGGGCAUUUCUUAAAGAUCGCCCUGGCAGAUGGAUCGUGAAUGUUUUCCCCAAACAGACGAGAUUCGGUAUCUUAUGCGCUGCAGAGCUGAAUCAGCAGCAUUGGAUUCUUCAAUCCCCAGCAAGUUUCUCACCACUAGUAAACGCGUCCCCCAUAAGAGCGGUGGUUUCAGAUUAUACAAGCUGGCCCGAGCAGUAGAGUUGAGCAGUGUCAGAGCUAUAUACCGCCCAUGGCCGGAAGUUGACAGUGCAAGAACUGUAUCUUGCGCAGCAGAAAAGGCGGCUGCUCCUCAGAGUUCGAGGCCAGAUGCGAUAAUCCCAAUGGCAGAUCCCAUGGUUUCUUUCCCUAAAGCAGCAACCUCGGUACUAGUAUCGGUGUUUGCUUCCGCGCUGCUGAGUCAUCUCUUGCAGAUGGCGUGGUUGGCGCAGAAAUCACUAUCGGUUUCCCCAACAAAACAGGUUCAGUGUCGUUCUCUCGCGCUAAAUCAGAAAUCUCGUAUUUCGUCAUUGGCUUAAACACCGUGUGGCGGGUCAUUUCCCACAGAAUUCUUUGCUGCUGUGCAUCUUGCCAGGCAGCCUUGUCCUAGGGUCGCAGACAGAUGUGAUCAUUUGCCAGCCAGCAGAUCCCCGUUCUCAGCAUUGGCAUUCUAGCCGCACAGGCAUAUUCGCAUCCGCUGCAUGUAGAAUCAUAUUGGCCAUUGCAAAUCGCGUAAGGCAUUUCCAUUUUUCCCCAUGGAGGCAUUACCCAUUAGAAAAAUUCAAACAUACCGCAUUCGUAAGUAUAAAACAUUCUCCGUAUCCACAAGUGAUAAGCUAGAAGUCGGUUUUCAGUACUCCAGAGCUGAAAGAUUGUUCAUAACUUACGCUUUGUAUCCCUAGGCAAGAUGUCAUUGCCCGAUGCGCGCGCUCUACUUAUCGUUUCCCCAUAUUUCUUGCCGAUGCCGACAGGCAUGAAGUUUCCGGUAUUCAGACCGAAGUGGCGUUUAGGGGCCAGUUUUUCGCGAUGUUCAGAUCGAAGUAAGUUUCAGAAGUCAGGUCGAUAAACAGUUUUUUAUGUUUUUUUUUUUUUUUAGUUGUGCGUUCAGGUCAAUUUUCCAGAUGUUCAGAUCGAGAAGUUUCCGACGUCAGGUCGAUGCAAACUUGUGGAGCGUUUCAGGCGCAGUUUUGCCGAUGUUCAGCAUCGAAGAAGUUUCCCGACGUCAUGUGGGUCGAUGCAACUUGUGGCAUUCAGGGCCAUUUCCGAUGUUUCAGAUCGAGAAAGUUUCCGACGUUGCAAGGUCGAGCAACUUGUGGCAUCAAGUGCAGCCUCUCGGUGUUCAGAGCGCGAUAUUAAUAAUCUCAUAUCUCCCCGAUGGUUGGAAAUCGAAGUCAUUUCCAGUAUUCAGACUGAUGAAGCGACCAAUUCAGGCCAUGGUUAUUUCCUGUUUAACCAUUAUUUUGGAUUCGCAGGUUAACAUUCUUUUGCGGGUAUUGCAGACUGACACUCUCACCGUAACAGACGAUUCUUCUUUCAAGACCACGCGUCUUUGGCCAGAUUCUGACAGGCAUUGUUAGCUUCAGCUUCAGCUUCAAGUGGCAAAUUUUCGGGCAUUUUAUUUGUAUUCAUCGCCUUGAUACCUCGAAAGCACGAAAGCCGCUGCUAUCUUCUUUCCAGGUCUCCAGCUUGAUUGGAAUAGGGGCAGCUCGUAAUACGCCCAGCAAAUUUACCCUUCAUUUUUCCUGGAAACGAUACGCUUACACCUCAUGCAUGCAUUCAGUUUUAGGUCAUUUAGCAUUUGCAUUUCAUCAUGGGCACAAUCAGAAUCGGAUCGCACAGAAGUUUGAAUCAUCAAUCCAAGUACAUUUUUGUGGGUCCUAAUUUAGAUGAUUAGUCAACACAAAAGAAGAAGACUUCAGUUACUUCAACAGGGUCAUAUUGUCAGUCAAAACGUUAAUCUUGAAGGAGCAAAGUUUGUUUCAUGAGUUGUCAUACUCGCUAGGCGAAGCCCACGUGUUUGAAAAAAAAAAACGAAAAAACGAAAAGUAAAAAACGAAAAACAAAAAAAAAAAUAAUAAUAAUAAUAAUAAUAAAUAAUAAAUAAAAGAAAAAACUUUGACUUGACGGCUCUCUCAUUUGAGAACCACAGGUCGCACAAAUCAGGUUAUGAGAAUUCAGAGUUUAGUGAACAAAAGGCAAUUCAUUCGCUAUUACCCUGUCCUGGGAAAAAGAUAGUGAGAGAAGAACCGCUGGUAAGUGUGGAGAAGAGCUAAACAGAGUUUUAGAAGCAGCCUCCAACCCUGAAGGGAAACUCAACUGGAAAAAAAGCAGCAGAAUCACCUUUGGCCUCAGCAAAACCCUAAGAUUGUUGUUGUAAACCUCACGGGUGCAACUCAAAUUCAAAUCAAGCUCUCCCAAUCAGGUUUGCCGCUAUAUCGCAUCAUCUUUAUGCGCUUUAAAUUUUGAAUGCUCUAUGUAAUGAGGUAUAUGGGUGAAAUUUGGAUACCUCUUGAUGCAUUGUGUUUGACAAGAGGUUUUAGGCCUCCUACCCUUGGUUGCUUUUUGUGAGCUUUUGGAAUUUUAAUGCACGAUUCAUGUGGUUAUUACAUUUUUGAUUUGGGGGCAACUCUGGUUACCCUAUUUUGUUUCUCUAACCUGUUUGUUGAGUUUUGUUUUGAUGAGGGCUCAUAUGACUCUUGUAGAGAUGGUUUGGCCCUGGUGUUCCACUUUAUUUGUGUGGAUACCGCCCUGGAGGUUCAUUCCGGUUACCUGUACUGACCACUUUUCUUUGAUGAUGGUUAAGCUAUGGAGGGUCUCAGGGUUUAUCGUUCCUAUUAAUUGAUGUUAACCUGCGAUGCUUCAUUCCGUGUGGUCCUUUUACAUUUUCGCGCAUUUUAACUGCUUUUCCUAGUUGGAAGACCUCGAUAGGAAGGCAAUGUUUUUUGUGUUUACUUUAUGGGCAGGUUCCUUCGUAAAUGGACUGCCCUUUUUUGCAUAAGCAUCCCAACGUGGUGGGUUCCUAACCCUUCAUUGAUUUUCUUCUGCACUAAACACAUGUUUACUCCUUUCUACUACAGGUAGAGUAAGUCUCCCAAAGGUCGAAGGUCGAGCAUCCGGUAGAUUGCGUAGUAACGUCGUUCGUCCAAAAUCCAAUCCAUAACCCCGUAGUUAGCCGAACUACGGCUUGCUCUGAUUCUCAUUCCAGAUGAGAUACGUAGGCAUAAGACGCAAUGUCUUAGCGAGCACACAUCCCCCAAACCCAUAGGUCAGUCGAGCUACGAAGACUCUGAUUCUCAUCUUCAGAUGAGAUACGUAUGCAGUGGAUGCGACAUUCGCGUGAGUCAUUUUCAUUUAACCCCUUUUUUAGUGAACAGCACAAGAUAAACUCACACCCUUGAGACAAGAACUACAAAAGUGGAUCCCGUAGAGUACUACGGAUGCGUAGGGGUGCUAAUACCUUCCCUUCGCAUAACCGACUCCCGAACCCAAGAUUUGGUUGCUAGAUCUUGUCUUUUCCUUUCCUCUUUUCAGGUUUACUUCGAGCGUUUCCUUUCCCUCCUUUGGGAUAAAUAACGCACGGUGGCGACUCUUCUGUCAUUUUCUUUCGCCGGUUGUUUUUUCGUACACUGUAUUUUUACUCUUUUCAGGUUUACUUCGAGCGUUUCCUUUCCCUCCUUUGGGAUAAAUAACGCACGGUGGCGACUCUUCUGUCAUUUUCUUUCGCCGGUUGUUUUUUCGUACACUGUAUUUUUCAGGUUGCGACAUUAACCAUAUGCGUUAACUGGUUAACAUUGUUCUAAAAAGUGUUUAGAAAGCACAACUCUUGUGCAGUCACAAUCCCAAUCGCAUAACUCUCUGACAACACAACCCUUGUGCCGUCACUAACCCUGAUGCACCAAUUUCAGACCGUCAAGCACAUCUCGAUUGUUGAUUUAGUAUGAUUGAUCAACACGUCAUUGCUUCACCAUACUAAUGUCGGAUCAAGAAGCAAACAACCAUUGAUCGCUCAAAGGAAAACAACCAUUGAGUGUUUUAAUGAACGAAACGAGAACACUAUAUCAUAUAUAAUGUAUUUUGCAUCAGGAUUACAUAUAUCAUAUAUAUAACUUGAUCGAUCUCAAUUUAAUCUUUGAUUCAUUCUAUCUUUAAUCGUAUUAAUACAGAAAAUAAACAGUUAUCAGAUUCAUGGUUUCGUAAGUGGCCUCUGAUCUACACUGGAAGGAGAAUUGCCAAUCCAAGGCGCAGCGGAACUUUAAAAUUUUCUCUUUAAUGAUCCUUCACGAUGGGCACUGAUCAGUGAUAGAAUCGUUACUCUCUGUGGCGAUCACGAACGUUGACGAUGCAACGCCUCUACUCAGUCCACGACAGAUUCCUUCAAUCUCAGUGCUAGCUGGCUAUGAAAUGAAGGCUUUGAGUGAGGAGAGAGAAGAGAGAAAGCGAAAUGCCAAUGAGUGACAAGCUUUUACCCAAGGGUUCUAUUUAUAGAAGCACUUGUUUGUGGGCUUCAAGCUAAAACAAGCCCACUUAAGUGAUUUUGACCCAUAUCUAAUAUGCUCAAAAUACUUAAGCGUGUGGUACCUGACCAUAUUUCGUAUUCCACUUAAGUGCACCCGUACCUUACGAUGUUCCUUAGUUACUUCUAUCUCUCAUACAAUCCGUCCUUUGUGUGUGACCCUGUAGGUUUUCGCGACGUUGGAAUUAAUGUUUAAUCACACAUUUAACAUAAUAAACAGUGAGCGGUAUCUAGCAACACAUCACUGCUACCUAAGUCAUGAAAUGUCAGCGAUCUGACAAUCUUCUGUGGAUAAUAAUUAUGUGUAUAAUAUCCUUUUGCCCUUAUGUCUCAUAUUGAAAACAAGGUAUAGACCGUGUAUCCUUGUCGCUUCAAUAUUGGGCCCAUAGACAUUUAUCCUGUUACGCAGGAUAGGAAAAUUUAUCUAGGUCAACUCAUGCCUCGCAUGCUUCGUAGGGUACCCAUCAACUGUCUUUAUGGUUAUCUAGUUACGGACAAUGUGAUCAGCAAUAAACACUCGACUCUACAUCUAGGAUCCAUAGUGGUUUCAGGGUCGAAGAGUGGUAUACACCGAUUAUCACCAUGAGAAUAACUUAUGACAUUUUGCAUAACUUUCUAUACAGUAUUCUCAUACGCGGUCAAUCCGGUAUAAUAUUACUCUUAAUAUUCAUACCUAUGUUAAGACUUGAUACUCUUUAUCCAUGAUCCACGAGAUGUGAUCAUCAGUCUACAAACAUAAUAGUUCAAUGGCUUUAAUGUUAUCCCAUCUCACAAUAAAGCUCGAACUACGGAUACUUUAAGAUAGAUGUCCUUAUGUUUAAUGUGAUCUCAUGAUUUUACAGUCAUACUUGAUACAUUAAACGGACUAGCUAUUCUAGGGACUUUAUUAAACAAACAUAAUAAAGAAAAUGCCUUUUAUUAUUAAUAAAUAAUUCGAUACAAGUACCAAAAGUAUUGGCCUCUAAGGCUUACACCAACAAACAUUAGAUGUUUGAUCCAAGUUCAAAUGCUCUAAUUUGUUAGUAUGACUGCUAAAUAAUGAAUUAUAAUAGUUAUUUUCUUAUUCCUCGAAUGAAUUGAGUAAUAAGUAUCGACAAGAAAGGUAGGAAUGCUAUUCUUGGUCAUGAAGAUGCAGAUUGAAGGCAAGUCCACAAAAUCCUCAAUGUUGGGGAAUAAGACUAUCUCAUAUAUGAGGAGAGCAAGUAUUGCAUUGAAAACAUCCCAAAUUUUGGUAUCAGCAAAUGUCAUAGCUUUGUCCAUCAAGAACUUCAUGGUGAAACCAUAAGUACCACCCAUAGGCUUGAGGUUGAUUUCUACAUCUUUUUUCCCAACUAGAGUGCUUCAGCUAUCUGGUGAAACUUAAGAAGUUCCUUCAGGCUAUUGAGUGGAACUUGAUCUUUGAUCUCAAUUCCCAAGAUAUGUUAAUAUUUUUCCAGUGUGGGAGUCAACUGAUAAUCUUAAAAGGUAAAGCAUCUCAACGGAAGAUCGUAGUACUACACAAGGGUAUGGAUGACCAUUACAUUGACUUUAGUGUUCAGAUACUCAGGAGGUUGCCAUAGCCUUUCUUAAAAUCAUCUCUAUUAUCAAGAACUAAAAUGGAUCCCAAUCCUCUUAGAGCCUUCAACUAAGGUUCCAUGAACUUGUAAUUAUAGGUAAUCUUUCUUCCAGUACUUAUCUUCUUUGGAAUACUCAACAAAGGUUGAUACUUUUGGAUUCCCUGGAAAUGGUAUGCAUAUGCUAAAUUAGUUUUUUAUGUUGAUAUGAUGUAAUUAUAUGCAACAUCAUGAGUUCAAAGGUUCGACAUAUUCUGGAUAAACUACAUAUAAUUCUCAAGGUAUAGGUUCGACGUAUUCAUGAUUCUCAAGGUAGGUAGAGUUUUAUGUUUUCUACAAAGAUUGAUACUUAAUGAUUUGCAACGACUAGAUAUAUUUUCCUUCCUUUUAUGGAACUUACAAACGAUUAUUUUCAACUUCUAUUCGAUUAGGAAUAGGUGAUAGUCGGUUAGAUUAUUACAAAAUACUUUUAUUUAAAUUUCCUUUUUGAGCCAACCUUAUACCUAUAAAUAGAGGUUCAAUUUUUCAUUUCAAAUCAUCCAGAAUCGUAUUUUGACAAUUUCAUCUCUCACACUCUCUCUCUCUCUCCAAACAUUUAUUUAAUUUUCUCUCACUAUGUUUGUAGUCUAAGUGCUUUUGUGACAAAAGUUAUUUUGUAAGUCAUAUCAUUUUUGUAAUUUUAUAAUAGGUAGAAUUGUAAAACUCACCAAGGGAACCUUUUGUGUAUACCUUGGUUGAAUACUGUUUAAUUAGUGAUUUACUUGGGUUAAAGUUAAACCCGUAAAAAGCUUAUGGUUGGGAUUGGGAAUUUUAAUCCUAGUUUAGGUUAGAGAUCAGCCCGUAUAAAAUCUCAUAGGUUAUUAGUCAGCCCGGUGUUAAAAUUAAGAUAGAUUGAAACUCAACCCGAUACUUAAAAGCUCCACAUGUUUGACAUCAGUCUGGUGUUAAAAUCUCAUGGAUUUUUGGUUAGCCUAGUUAAAACCAAGGUAUUAAACUCAAAGAUUAUGGAACUCGAAGACUAAUCGCUACAAGGUCUGUGUCUAUGGAGAGAAGACUAACCACUUCAAUCCACCAUUUGGGAAGUAAGAUUGUCCCAUUCGCUCUCAAGCUUAUUAUAAAGAAAAGACGCAAACAUCCACAUCCAUCAUCUUGUAUACUUUGAUUGAAGAUCAUUCACCAUUUCCUCGUAUAAUGGGGGUUCAUGAGUCUUUUCUACUAAAAGAUCUCAAAAUAUUAUUGGAAACUCUCAAAAUCAAUCAUUGGGGAUAUUAGUAGGUCCUUUUGUUUUUGACCGAACCUCUAUAAUUCUUGGUGUUUCUCUUUUCACUGAACUCCUUUUGUUUCCACAUUUUAUUUUCCGCUGCUUAGUUUUUAAAAUGGUUUUAAACUCUGAUUUUAUUUCCUAAAGUUUUUCAAAACCACGUUUUUCUAAAGCAUACAAUUCACCCCUUUGUGUGUGAAGUCCAAAGUACAACAAUUGGUAUCAGAGUCUAACUCAUAUUUAAGGACUAAUUGUCUUAGGAGAAAGAUGACUUUUGACAAGAUAUUUUUUAAACACCACCACUUUUAAAAAAAUAGCAAGAACUUAUUUCUUCUUGCACGCUAGGUUUAAAAUCAUUUUUUAUUCAAAGUAUAAAAACUAUUUUCAAUAGUCUGUUAUCUAUACUCAUAAAGUAAAUAAUGAAAUAGUAGAUAAAACCACUUUUUUAGACCAAAGAGGAAAAGAUACAAUUUGAAAUAAGGGAUCUUAAAGGUUAUGGAAGGAAGAUUGACCCCUUCACUCUCAAGCUCAUUAUGAAGAAAAGACGCAAACACCCAUAUUCAUCGUCUUGUAUAUUGUGAUUGAAGAUCAAUCACCAUUUUCUUGCAUAAGGGAGUUCGCGAGUCUUUCUUGCUAAAAGCUCUCAAAGUAUUAUUGGAAACUCUCAAGAUCAACUCUUGGGGAGAAGAGUGGGUCCUUUUGUUUUUGAUUGAACCUCUAUAAUUCUUGGUGUUUCUCUUUUACCUUAACUACUUUUAUUACUACAUUUUAUUUUUUGCUACUUUGUUUUAAAAAUGGUUUUAAACUCUGAUUUUAUUUCCCAAAGUUUUUAAAAAUCAUGUUUUUCUAAACCACACAAUUCACCCCCCUCUUGUGUGAGAAGUCUCAAGUACAACACUGAUCUCCUUUACGAUGGUGCAGGGUGGACUUUCUUGGCUAGCAAUACAACACUCAUUUCAAUUCAAAACUCAAGACAAGUAUGGUAAAAACUGGAGACUAUAGAUUGUAACCUACUCUUAGCAUGUGAACUAUUUUUAUAUUUUAUUUCAAAUAGAGUGAAUUUUGAGAUGAAUUGGGCCUUGGUCUAUUGGGCCAUUGGCCGAUCCAAAAUAUGGACCAUGAUUAAUAACUGAUUCUUUGUGUGUUAUGUGAUUAUCUAAAACGAUAUUUUGAUUGACUUGAAUAUUUUGAAUGUUUAUAAUUUUGAUUAAAGUUAAUCUUUGGAUUGUGAUUAUUUAUUUAAGACUGAUUAUUUAAAUCUAUGUUUCCAGUAUGUUAUGAGAACUUUAGUGUUAUAGAUUUAAAAUAGAUUAAUAUAAAUUAUAUACCUUUGUUUAGAGUAUAUAAUACUGUCUUGAAGUAAUGAAUCACCUAUUUUUCUUGGUUAAUCCAUUUGUUUAAGACCCUUUAAGAAAAACUACUUUUAAGGAAAACAAUUUUUUUCAAUUAAACCAAAAUCACUAUCAUGUCUUAAUUUAACAGUCUGACUUUCAUAUAUUAAAUACCCGUCCCCAUCUUUUAGAGUAUCAACUUAUAUAUAUAUGAUGUUGUCUCUAUUUUAGUAAAAAACAUAUGUAACAAAUAUUAGAAGUUAGAACAAUAACUUAAUUUCUCAUAAUAUGGUGUAAAACUAAAAGUUUGCGCAAUGUAUGUGAUUUAUAUAAUUUUCAUAAUCCUAAGACUAAUAGGAAACUAAUCACACACAAAAGAAUAACUAAAGUAUACAUUAUAAUAUUGUGCAUAAUAAAAAAUACAAAAGAGAGUAGAUAAAACAAUUUAAAAGAACCUGCUACUAAAAUGCAACUUAGUUUUUAUGAGAGUUUUUUUUACACGAACUUUUAUGAGAGUUGAACAAAGCAAAACGUAGAAAAAUAAACAAAUAAUUUUAAAGAUUUAUAGUGUCCAAAGCAAAGACCAAACAUGUCUAUUUAUACUAAUGCUAAAUCAGAUCCAUUGAUCCCUCAAUAGCUAAUAAUAAGUGCAUUUAAAAAACACAAUAAUAUUAGAGUGAAAUGAAAAAAUUGUAAUAGAUAAUAUAAAAAUAAAACUGACAAAAUUGUGGAUGUUCGAACAUCUUAGCCUUAAUCUUUGAAUCUUUAUUCUACUCCACUUCAUACUCCUGGAAUACAAUGACAUAAUUAAAUAAUAAAACGAUAAAAACAUCACUUAUCACUUAUACACCUUCCACACAUUCAUUACCAGAUCAUACAUAAAGAUUUUUCCAACACCAUUAUCAUAUUCCAAUCACUCUAAACAUUGCAUUUUUUUCCAUUUGUCAUUGUAGAGUAGUGUCUUAAGAGGAGAGAAUGUACAAUAAACAUCCUUAUUCACAUAGUUGUCAUAGGGGGCAAUGAUAAAACUUUCAAAAUAGACAAUACAAACCUUCAAUCUAAAUAGAAACCAUUGAAUAAUACAAAACUUGUGCCUCUUCAAAAUAUCUUUUCACAUAUGCAAUGCAAUAUUUAUUUCACACUCAUAAAUAUUAAAAAAGAAUUAUAAAUAUGAAUAGUGUGAGAAAAUCUCACAUUAAUAAAAAAUGUGAAGGAGAAUCCAAAAUAUAUGGUGUGUCUCUACCUUCUAAAUUAAUCCUAAUAGUAUAUAAUGCUAUAUUACAAUUUACACACAAUCUUUUAACAUAUUUUUUUAAUCGACUUGCAUUAGAUAAUAUGGACUAGUUUUCCACUAUUGUUAAAGUAAUAUGUAAUGUCAUUACAUAUAAAAAUAUUUUUAUAUUUUUUAUUAAUUUUGUCAAAUUUUAUUUUCUUUAUUGAUUAUAAUUUUUGUGAGUUCACCAAAUCACAUGUUAACAUUAUAUUUAAUAGGACGCAUAUUAAUUUUAACUCAUAAAACUGUUUGAAAGUAUGCAUCAAAAAAACACAGUAGUGUGUUUUUAGUGUUAUUCUUUUAUUUCUUUAAAGAAAAAAGCAUGAGACGUGAUGAAAAAUGACGUGUCCUGCGGGGGAACAAUGGCAUAUUCGAAUAUUCAUAUUCAUAUUUGCAUUCUAAGAACAAAAACUUCUAGCGAAAUCCAACUUCACGCAAACCGGUAUCUUUUUAGUCAAAAACAUUUCACCUUUUUUCUUUAGUGUUCCAUAAAUAAAUAAAUAUUUUAUGAAGUUCUAAAAAUUCUAAAAUAAAUAUAAGUACUUAAUUCAGAUUUAUCAUUCCUUUUACUUUUUGUUAUAAAAGUUUCUAAAUCAUACAUUUAAAUUAUCUUUGCUAAAAAUAGUUGACUGAUAAAUAAUUUAUAGUGAUGAUGAAUGAUUAAUUAUUAUGAUUAAUAGUUUAUACUUUAUAAUUGAUAAUUUAUAAAUAAUAAGUUAAUUCAAAUAUUUAAUAAAAUUAACGAUUUAAUUAAUUUAUAAAUGACAUAAAAAUAUAUUUAUUUUAUUUUAAAUUAAAAAUAAAAUUUAAAAUUUAUAGAGAGUUUUUAUUAAAAUAAUAAAGAUAAAAAUAAAAAAAAAUAUGAUAAAUUAUAAAUUAUAAGAUAAAAUGGUAUUUGAAAUUACAUCUAAAAAUUAAGUUAUAAACUCAUUAUAAAAAACCCUUAUUAAAUGAGUCAAAAUUAUAGACCCUGGUUAAAUGAGUCAAAAUUAUCGUAUAAGUAUAUAAGCUAUAAUUUUUUUAAAUUUUAAUUAUAGUAUAAAAUUUAUACUUUUCAAAUAGCAAACUGUUUUUACAAACCGUAAAGUCAGACACCCACAGAUUAAAUAUUUUUGAAAAAAUAAUAAUUAAAAGGUUUAACUAUAAUUAGGAAAGUUGUACUCCAAUUUAGCCAUUUUCACUUUUCUCUUAUUUUCUCCGUCUAAAGCGACUCUUCUUAAGUUCACGUAAGUUCCUUCCUUUUAAAUUAAAAAAAAUCCAAAAAAGAAAAACAAACAAUAAAAAACUAAAAAUAUCAACGCUAAUAAACCCAAAAAAAAACUGUAUUUAUAUCAAACGAACCAAGCACAACACAACACAAAUUCAAAAGGCAAAGGGUUUGGUCUUCGUUAGGUUAUUACUGUGACAUUUGUGCAGUUACUUGCGGCUCAACCAGAAAUUGUUAGGUAUGUCUUUUUCUGAGAUUUCAAUGUUCCACACACCGUUUCACUUCUCUGCAUCAAUCUCAUCCUUUGAAUUUCAUUUUGAUUUUAUUCAUCAAAUCAUAGAUUUAAGAUUCAUAUUUUUAACAAUCAAUUUUUAUUAAUUUUAGUUUUUGUUUUAAAUUUUAAUUCUUAGAUUUGAAUUUGGGAACUGCAUGAGAUCUAAAUUUAAUGGUUAAAUUAAAUUAAAUUAAAUUUAACAAUAUACAAACAUAAUCAGAAUUGAUUUGUGAUGUUUAUAUAGAGAGAAUAUAUGAUGAAAUUUGCUGUUGAUUAGUUUGUUAAGAUUGGAUUUUUGGGUUUGUUUUUGAAUCAGAAUCUGUUAUAGAAAAGAAGAAGAAAGAUGGGUAGCUCAGAUUUCUCAUGGAAAUUACCGGAUCAUCCUAAGCUUCCAAAGGGAAAGACUAUUGCUGUUGUUGUUUUGGAUGGUUGGGGUGAGGCUAACGCAAAUGAGUACAACUGUAUCCACAUCGCUGAAACACCCACCAUGGAUUCUCUUAAAAAGGUAUAAUAAUAGUAAUUAAUAACUAUACAUACACCUGUUUUGUUUUUCAGUUUCUCUUUUGAUUGAACUUGUUUGGGUUGAUUCUGCUUAGAUCUGUUGCUGUUUUGUGUUUUCCUUGAAGAUGAAAAUGAAUGGUGGGAGCUUUUUUUUUUGUUAUAUUGUAGGGUGCACCUGAACAUUGGAGAUUGGUUAGGGCUCAUGGUAAAGCUGUAGGACUUCCAACAGAGGAUGACAUGGGCAACAGUGAAGUGGGUCACAACGCACUCGGUGCUGGGCGUAUAUUUGCUCAAGGGUAAUUUGAAAUAGCUUCUAUUCUCAAUCUAUUUGGUUUGGCCUCAUAUUUUCAAUAUUAUGUUUUUUUUUUCUUCAUUUACUCACUUCUGUAAGAACUUGGUCUUCGUGUAGCUGGUGUGGUGUUUCUUGAUUUACCAUUUCAGAAAAUGUGAACUGAUUUUGUUUCUUGAAACAUUUGGAUUCGCUGCGCCUAUUUUUUAUGUCAUGGUUGCGCCAUAGCAGUUCCUGCUGUGUCUUGUUCUGUGAUCCUGCUAUGCGGCUUUGCCUUACUGUGCAUCUCGUUUUCCCCCGGACUUGCAUUUUUCUGUUUGGAUGGAAACUGUUUUGUAUCUUGAUGUCAAUAAAAUUUUGUUAGUGGUAUUAGGAUUGGUUGUUACAUACUAUCUUGAAAUGUUUCUCUGAUUCUUUCCUAUUGUCUAUGCAUAUUGACUGUGCUAUCAUAUUCCUAGCACAUGUGAUGAUUCGGAUGUACUGAUUUAUGUUUUGUUUAUUGUAGUGCAAAGCUUGUUGACCUUGCUCUUGAGUCUGGAAAGAUUUUCGAUGGAGAAGGUUUCAAUUACAUCAAGGAAAGUUUCGAAACUGGUACAUUGCAUCUUAUUGGACUACUGAGUGAUGGUGGAGUUCACUCCAGGCUUGAUCAAGUUCAGGUGAUUUAAUGUGUUCGAAUUUGUGUCUUCAUGUUUGCAAAAUUUUAUGCCUUCUAAAUUCUAAGUAACUAUUUUUGUACAGUUGUUGCUUAAAGGGGCUAGUGAGCGAGGUGUUAAGAGAGUCCGUCUCCAUAUUCUUACGGAUGGUCGCGAUGUUUUGGAUGGCUCAAGUGUAGCUUUUGUGGAAACCCUUGAAAAUGAUCUUGCAAAAUUGCGUGAGAAAGGUGUUGAUGCACAGAUUGCAUCAGGUGGAGGUCGCAUGAAUGUAACAAUGGAUCGUUAUGAGGUAUUGUGUUACAUUUAUCCACCAUUUCAUUUAAAAUAAUUCCACAGUUCCUUUUUUGCCUUUCUGUUUGUGUAGCUAUUUGUCUUAUACACUGGUCAAUUUUAAUAUUUUUAUUGAGAAUGUGAUUCUUUGUUGUAUUGACAUAUUGGCUCGGAAGUUUGAUAAAAGGAAAGACAGUAUUUUUUUCUUCUGAAAAACCAUGACUGCUUAAACCGAAGGAUUAAGUUAUGGGUGAAACUGCUGUGUAAUCUCAUUUAUAUAUCUUAUUUAUUGUGAAAACAUUGGAGUUAUGUGUUUUCCUUUUUGUGAUUAACUUUUGUAUUCAAAUUCUUAUUUUUAUACGGCAAAUAAUAUUUUUGAUGUUAUAUAUGAAUAAUAUAAAUGAUUUCAAAACAACCUGCAGAAUGACUGGAGUGUUGUUAAACGUGGAUGGGAUGCUCAAGUUCUUGGUGAAGCACCUUAUAAGUUCAAAAGUGCUCUUGAAGCUGUCAAGACACUGAGGGCAGAACCAAAGGCCAAUGACCAGUAUCUGCCUCCUUUUGUUAUUGUUGACGAGAGUGGAAAAUCUGUUGGUCCUAUAGUUGAUGGCGAUGCCGUUGUUACAUUUAACUUCCGGGCAGAUCGUAUGACUAUGCUUGCUAAGGCUCUUGAAUAUGAAAACUUUGACAAAUUUGAUAGAGUACGUUUCCCUAAAAUCCGUUAUGCUGGUAUGCUUGAAUACGAUGGUGAAUUGAAGCUUCCACGCAAAUACCUUGUUUCUCCCCCAGAGAUCGAAAGGACUUCUGGAGAAUAUUUAGUUAAAAAUGGUGUUCGCACUUUUGCUUGCAGGUGAGUUAUUGUUUAAUCUGUUGGCUUUCUCUUGAAUAUUGUAAUAGUUUCUCACCUUCAUGCCAAUCCUUGAACUUGGUAAAUGACUAUUCUAUUCUUGACGGUGAAAUUUUUGUAACUAUGCAACUAAAAGUCAUCAUGUCCUUUAUGAAACUACUACCCUGAUGGUAGUUUUUAGCUUAGGCGCUCUGCAUUAUCUAAAGCAUUUGAUUUUAAAUGAUAGCUAUCAUAAUCACUUGUGAGUUUCUUCUUCUACAGUGAGACUGUUAAGUUUGGUCAUGUCACAUUUUUCUGGAACGGAAACCGAUCUGGGUAUUUUGAUGAGAAACUGGAGGAAUAUGUUGAGAUUCCCAGUGACUCUGGCAUUACAUUCAAUGAAAAGCCAAUAAUGAAGGCCGUGGAGAUUGCUGAGAAGGCAAGGGAAGCAAUUCUUAGCGGGAAAUUUGAUCAGGUAAUUAAACAAAUAAUCAGGUGAUUUUAAGAUUCAUUGUCUAAUGAUAGACUUUUAGUUUCUAUCUUAAUAUUUUUCUGUUGUGUAGAUUCGUGUCAACCUUCCAAACGGUGACAUGGUGGGACAUACAGGAGACAUUGAAGCAACUGUUGUGGCAUGUAAGGCAGCCGACAAAGCUGUGAAGGUAUGAACCGAACUUUAACUUUUGAAAUUAGCCUGAACAUUUCUGUAAAUAAUAAAUAUACCCUUUGUCAUGUUUUUUGCGCUCUAGCUGAAAAUUUGAAAUUUCUUGAUGCCAUAAUGUAAUUGCAGUUGAUUCUUGACGCAAUUGAGCAAGUGGGUGGAAUAUAUGUUGUCACUGCUGACCAUGGGAAUGCAGAAGAUAUGGUCAAGAGGGACAAAUCAGGAAAACCUCAGCUAAAGGAUGGACAAGUCCAGAUUCUUACUUCUCAUACUCUUGAGCCAGUAAGUUUUACGACCAAAUAUGUUCAUUCAGUCAUUGACGAGAACUUCGCAUGAAUUACAAGUGUCUGUCUACUAGAGAUUCUUAUACUUUCUUUGUUUGUUAAGGUACCAAUUGCCAUUGGAGGUCCUGGAUUGGCUCCUGGUGUCAGGUUCCGCAACGAUGUUCCCACCGGUGGGUUGGCCAACGUAGCUGCAACCGUGAUGAAUCUUCAUGGAUUUGAGGCUCCAAGUGACUAUGAGACAACCCUCAUAGAAGUAGUUGAUAAAUGAGAAACCAAUAGAUGAUGAGUUACAAAUUUUCAGCAGUUUUCAAAUAAUUUUGAACUUUUGAUUCCUCCACAGAUGUUUUUGUGGACUUUUGUCCUUAUGAAAUGGCUGUAUCAGUCUGCGGUUGACAGAACAUUAUAGUAAUUAAUUACAGUUUUGAACGCAGUUUUUUCCUUUUGAACUUUAAUUGUUGUCUUCAGUCAAAGUACUUCUAGGCACUGUGGUUACAGAUCUUGACCGUUGAGUCAGAUAUCAAGUACUACAAGGUUACAAAAACGUUUUUGUCUAAAAAAGAACAUAGAAUAAGAUUCUUCAUGUUUGUCAACUCUGAUGUCACGCUUGAAUACGCUUUUUUGGUUUGUUGUCUUUUCAUUUUUAUGAAGAGACAUAUAUAAUAUUACCAGUUAGAGUCUUGAUGCUUUGAAAAAAAUGGCAUCUUUUGGAGUUCUAAAUAAAAGAAAAUAGUAAUAAUCAUGAAAACAGUUGAUUUAAAAAAUAAUUUAUAGUCAAAGAAAUGACGGUUUAACAUAAAACCAGUUGGACUUUAUACAGCAUGCUUCAUCCCUAUAAAUUAAAUCUUUAGUUAAAGUAUCAGAGUAUUAAUAUAUUAUAGUUUAGAAAGAUUCCACAAACCAAUUGGACUUGAUUAUACAGCAUGCUUCAUUCCUCUUAAGUAAAUGUCAUGUGCACGUUUGUUUUAUAGUGAAAUCUAAUGUGCAAGUUGAUGCGUAUCAAAUUCAAAAUAUGUUAUUACAUGUUAUAAGUUGAUGUGUAUCAAAUUUAAAAUAUGUUAUUACAUUAGACCUAGUUUUAUUUUAGAAAGGAUUCUUUGUGGGUUGAUAGUAUUUGAGCACAAGUUUAAUAUAUAAUGUUUUUAUUUGAUUUUAAAUUUUAGUGGAUUAUGUGAGUAGUAUUCAUUGAUUCAAAAGUCAUCAAUAACUAUAAAAGUUAAAGAGACAUAACGGUCUUUAAAUUCCUCCUUAAAUUCCUUCUCUUUUGCAAAUGAUAUGUUGAAGUAGACAACCAUAAGAAUGCUCAUAAGUUGUUUGAUGAAAUAUCUAAGAGAAAUGUUGUCUCAUGGAAUGCAAUGUCAUCGUAUGAAAUCCAAUUAACCAAGUUAACACCAAAAAAACACCCAUACCUCACAAGGAAAAGCUAAAAUUAACACAAAAGAAAACACCCACACUUCACACAGAAAAACUAGAUUCUGAGGUAUCAGCACGAAGAGAACGAAUCAUAGUGUCCCUUCAAUCAUGUAUUUAAGCUAUCAAGCCUUUUAUAUACGGUUUCUAAUAUAAUGUUCUUUAAUUCAUACCGAGUAGCAUUAUAUGUUGCACCAGUAGAGUCAUAUGUGUGAGAACUAGUGGGGGAGAACCUUUUUGCACCAGUAGAAUCAAAACAUACACAUACAAUAACAAUCCAGCCAUUAUGUUGAUGAUAGCAAAACCAGACACAGCCAAAAUCAGGAGUAACAGUUCUUAAAAAUCCAAGGCCAAGUAACAUGUAAACAUAUACCAAAGUUCUUAAAAUUCCUUCAAGUUGUUGUUCUUGGAUUAUCAAAUCACCGAAAUCAGGAGUAACAGUUCUUAAAUUCAAGUUGUUGAAACAUAUACCAAAGUUCAUGCAAUGGUUGAAGUAUAUGUCAUUUAUGUACCAUGGAUUCAGGCUUCUUCUAAAAGUGCAAUAUUCAGAUUCUUUCCAUGAACGAAGCCCAAAAUGAAAUCACAAUUCUUCACUUGUUUAGAGGCCCCAAAAUGCAGAAGCUUCAUGAUUUAUCUUUUGUUCCUAAUCACACUAUUUGGGCAGUUACAGGUUACACCAUAUGGUAUUGGAGAAAUCAAAGGGAACAUGUGGAAAACUAUGUUAUGCCUACCAACUUGAGACAAAACAUAAUGCAGAAAACUCAUGAAUACAGUGAGGCGGUCAAAUUGCAGGCACAAGUCGCUACCUGGAAAAAAAUCUCCCAUUCAACAUAUUAAGAAGUGGAAUCCUCCUUUAAACUAGGGUCAGCCCAAUUAUAUUGGAGCCCCGUUUUAAUUAUAAAAAUGGGUCCAAUUUUAUUUUAAAACACAAUUAUAAUAAUUAAAAAAUAUAUAUAAAUAAUAUAUAUAAAAAAUAUAAUUAUAUAUUAAUUAAAAAUAAAUUUAAUUAUAAUUAUUUUGAGUUUUAGUCAAUCUUGAUUUUUGUAUGUAUUGAGUUUUUAUCAUAAUAUUUUUUUCGAUUGUUGAGUUUUUUUAAUGAGACUCCCUACUAGAUCGCGUUGGUUUCUCCACCAGUCGCCAUCCGACUUGCUCCCAGUCAGAGUUUCCUCCUGGUUUCUGAGCAGCUACUUGUGUUUAUCCUCUGUAUGGUUGUCUCCCAUUUUGAUAUGGUGUUGACCUAAAAUUCCCUGUAGAUUUGAUAAAAUUUCCUCUCCCCGACGGAUCUCCUCCUUCCUCAGCUAGAGUUGAGCCUUUGGGUCGUUGAUCUCUCUCUCUCUCUCUCUCUCUCUCUCUCUCUCUCUCUAGGAUCUCCUCCUUCCUCAGCUAGAGUUGAGCCUUUGGGUCGUUGAUCUCUCUCUCUCUCUCUCUCUCUCUCUCUCUCUCUCUCUCUCUCUCUCUCUCUCUGUUUUCCAACAAUUGUCUCCCUCUUUUUGUGGAUUGACCGAGGAUUGUAUCGAUGAUUUAAAUUCUUUGCGACACCUUUGUAUCCUUUGUGAUCGUUUUGUCAGCAUAAUCAUCAUAUAUACAUAUGCACUCAUAUAAUUUCAUAAUUUCAUAAUUGCAUCAUCAUAUUUGAUUGAUUUAUUUGAGAUUCUUAUUCUCUGUUAUGAUGGUACUUUAUCCCCAUACAAAUUCGGUGUCUGUCCUCCCUCAAUUGUAGAAUGUCAGCCCCUUAGGCAGAAAGACUUUAACCUUUCGCCUUUUCCCCACUGAGUUAUUUCCUCGUGGAUGAUUAUUACUUCAACUUCCUUCCUAGUUGAUUAUCUGGAUGGAAUUGCUCCCCUUGAGUUAUAUCCUCAUUGGGUUGAGUCUUGAUUGACCGUUUCUUUAUAGCUUUUGCCUAGAUAGAUGCUUUGAGUCUCCUAAGAGCUCAUUACCCAGUAACUGGUAAUAUUCUUCUUAGUUUGCAGUUGUUACUUCUUGCCCAAUACACGACAAAAGUAUCCCUAUUUUUCCAGCAGUAGAGUCCCUAGUGGAUUCGUUUUUCUUGAUUCCCCAGGAAGUAUAUCCUUGAUAUGUUCAUCCUAACCGGUGACAUAUAUCUUUCUUUCCCCCGUGUUGAGUUUAUCCUUGAUAUGUUAUCCUAACCAAUGACGGAUACUCUUAUUUUUGGUAUUCUACCCAAUAAAAAGGUAGUUGUAAUCCCUAUUUUGUUCCCCAGAGAGUUAAUCCUUGAUAUGUUCAUCUUAACCGAUGACAAAUUUCCUUCUCCUUGUGGUAUUCUACUCAGUAACCGGUAGUUGUAAACCCUACUUCCUCCUCAAAGAGUCUAUCCUUGAUAUGUUCAUCCUAACCGGUGACAGAUUUUCUCUUUGAUGGUAUUCUAUCCAGCAUUCGAUAGAUGUAAUUCCUACUUUUUGUUCAGUUGGUGUAUCCUUGAUAUGUUCAUCCUAACCGGUGACGGGUAUCCUUCUUGACAUUCCCAAGAAAGUUUAUCCUUGAUAUGUUCAUCCUAACCGAUGACAGAUUUUCUUUCCUGUUGAGUUUAUCCUUGAUAUGUUCAUCCUAACGGAUGACAGAUACUCUCAUCUUUGGUCUUCUACCCAGUAACUGGUGGUUUUAAAUCCUAUUGUUCUAUAGUUUUCCCCAGCAAGGCUAUUCUUACCCAGUAGCCGGUAAUGAAUACUCCCUCCUGGUGGUUCCCGCUGAGCCACCCUUGAUAUGUUCAUCCUAACCAGUGGCGGGUGUCCUAUCUGUCAGAUCUUUAUUAUCUCCUUACCCAGUAACAGGUAAUGGAUAAUAAAUUUCUGCUCCUCCUGCAUUGAAGUUUAUCUUCCCUAGUCGACUUGAGCGUGCAUUUCCUUAGUGAAAUCUCUUUUCCUACAUGAUCUAAGUACUUCAGUGUUAUCCUGAUCUACUCGUAUCCCCUGCAGAUGUUUUGUUUCCCUGGCUGAGUGUUUCCAUUUUGUAUGGAAUUCCUCUAGUUCCCCAGCAGUUUUAAGUCGUAGCCUGGCCUACACAUAACUCCUUUCCCCAUCAAAGUCUCUGUCUCCCCAGUGAGUUUUCCUUAUGAAAUGCAUUAUUCUCCUGCGGAUUUUCGGUCUCUCUGAUUUCUUUUCUUUUGUGGAAAAUAUUUCCCCACAAAGAAUUAACUUUUACAUUCAUAUCAUAUGCAUCAUGAGGUCUCUUAGGGACCAAUUUUUUUUCUAUGUUGUUAUUUAAGCCUAUUCUACCGAGUCGAGCCGAAGAUUUUAACCUUCACCUCCUCAGUUAGAAUGUCAUUAAAUAGGGGCAGCUGUAAGACCCCAAUUUUGACCUUAAGAUCCCUCAUGCAAUUUUAUCAUAUUGUAACACCUCAAAAUUUGCCCUCCUCUCUUGGGACUAGCUUAACAUAUUGCAUAUCAUUCUUAGGUCAUUAGGCAUUGCAUAAUUGCAUAUCAUGUGGCAACCUUGUGCAAGUCAUCCUCCUAGGUCUUGGUCAGAAGAUAAAAGGUUGAUGUAUGCAAGCUGAGGGUUUCAUUGGUUGAACUGAUUAUUAAUCAUCUGAGGGUGGUUCAAAUUAGGGUUUCUUGAUUCUCAAGGAGAUUGGUCUUCAUCUUGGUGGAAGUGGUACAUCAUCAUCAUCAUGGUUUUGUUAUCAUCCAAGAGGUUCAAGAGAUUGAUCAGAUACCUUGAGAUUAGGGUUUUGACCACUGGUCAACCCUAAUCAGUUGCAUUGGGCCAAUCAGGGCAUGGCAAGGAGAUGGGGUCUACAAUGGAAGAGGUUCAAGAGAUUGAUCAGAUACCUUGAGAUUAGGGUUUUGACCACUGGUCAACCCUAAUCAGUUGCAUUGGGCCAAUCAGGGCAUGGCAAGGAGAUGGGGUCUACAAUGGAUAUGGGGAUCAUUUCAUGACUAUAUUAAGCUUAUGGAAGCUAGGGUUUCAUCAUUGAGCCAUUUCAUCAGGAGUUUGAGGCUUAACUUGAUCAGUGCAUAGUCAAAUUCAUCUAUCAAUCAGAAAAGUCAACUGUGGUCAACUGUGCUUGAAAUGAUGGAUUUGGAGGUGGGAGAGAGUUGGAUAUACUUCAUUCAUGUUGAAACAAGUUUCAUUUGACAUUUCAAACAUCAAGAAUGAAGAAAAUAAAGUCAGAUGAAAAGUUUCCAAAAAUGGCAGGUGACUUGUAAUGAAAGUUUCCAAAAAUGGAAAGUUUUUCACCUCAAAAUUACAUGUCCAAAAAUGCUUCAAAUGAAAUUUUGUUCAACAUGAAAGUUGUAGAUCUUGCUCUCACCUUUCCAAAAAGACCUCAAAAUUACAUGUCCAAAAAUGCUUCAAAUGAAAUUUUGUUCAACAUGAAAGUUGUAGAUCUUGCUCUCACCUUUCCAAAAAGUCCAAGAACUUGAAUUUCUCAUGAAUGGUUGGCAAGAUAUGGUCCAAUCAUUUUCCAAAAAUGCCUAAAUUCAAAGUGGCAUAACUUUCACAUGGAAUGGCCAAAUUGGUUGAUUUUUCUUUGAGAAAACCCCAUUUCACAUGUACUUCCAUGAUGCAUCAUCAAAUUUCAUCAAAAAUAAGCAUGGCAAAAAGGCAUUUUUCAAGUGAUCUAUUUGAAAAUUGGUGGGAAAAAUGGUGAUUUUGAGAAUUACUUGGUUUUUGCAUACAAGGCCUAUUCCAACACAUCACAAAUGCCAAAUAGAACAUGUUUGAACUGUCAUGGCACUGUUGCAUUGCAUAAUUUGGAAAAGGACUUUUUUUGGCAUUUCACUAAAAAUCUCAUUUUACUAAUUCACUUUGGUUUUGCUAAUUUGGAUUAGUAAAUGGAUUAAGGCAUGGUAUAUAACACUAAUUGUAACAGAAAUUGGUAAUGACUUCACAUUAUUCAAGAUUGUAACAGAAUUUCCCUCCAAAAACUCUCAAUUCUCCAAAAUUUCUUCACACAUUUUUCAUCAAUUCUCAUCAAGUUCUUCAUCAAUUUGGUUGAUUCUUGUUGGAUUCAUACUCCAUAAGCAUUGGUGCACGACUGUUUCACAAGAUUCAUGCCAAAAGCUUGCUGAAUUUGGACUGUUGCAUUCAAGGUCAUCAAUGGCAAUUUCAUGAUUCUUCAAACUGGUGCUGUUUCGAGCUGAGCUAAUCACUUCAAACAACUUCAACAUCAUCAAGCAUCACCUGUUUCACCAUUUCACACCUGGAAACGCGCGAUUCCAACAACUGCUUCACCAUAAGGUCAGAGCUCGAUCUUAAUAAUAAUCCAAACCUUGAUAUGAUUUAGGUAGAUCGUGUGAUGUAGAACACGUUGCAACUUGUGGUGUUGAUUUUCAUGCUGAUUUGAAUGAGAAAUCAUGAUUUAUACUUUGACCUAGGAACCUUUUCUUGUUCGAUCCGGUUAGCAUGAUAGGAAUUAGGUCAAACCAAUUGCAUAUCCAUGAUGUACGUGCUUUGCUGGUGAUUUUGAUGUAUCAUUUGUCAAUUUUGGUUAAAAAAUGUUCAUGUCCAAAUUCUGGAAUUUCUGUUGUCGUUCUUGAUGAAGAACGCGCAUGGAGAUGUGUUUGAUCCAUUUGCCUGGCUGUAAAUUUUGAAAUGCUGUUUACCGCGCCUUAGAGCCAAUCAUAUGGCGCCACCGCAUUAAUGAGAAACGCCGCGUUUUGGUUUAGUUGUUCAAUAUUACGCAAAUGCCAUUAUUCCAAUUUAAUAUCAUUUUAUUUCAUUUUCUUUUUCAUUUGUUAUUUCAUUUUGAUCCAUGAACUUAGAAAAUCCAUAACUAAUUCAUUUCUUGUCCAAAUUUUGUGAAUUUUUUUGCAUGAUUCUCCUUAGGAUGUGUAGUUUUUAUGAUGAUUUUUAUGAUUUUUGUGCACGUGUGAAAAAAUAAUUUGCCUAGGGAUUGUUUGGAUGUAUGCAAUUUGUACAUGCUUUGCCUUUUCACUCAUGAAAUGAUGGUGCUUCCAAAGAAAUUGAUGAAAUUUUUUGUGCUUAUUCUGGACUCUUUGAUGGUGAUUUUGGUAUGUAGUUUGUAAUUUUUGGAUACCUGGUUGAGGAGAUAUGAAUUUUUGAUUAGAGGUGUGACAUCUUUGAUGGUGAUUUUGGUAUGUAGUUUGUAAUUUUUGGAUACCUGGUUGAGGAGAUAUGAAUUUUUGAUUAGAGGUGUGACAAUUUGUGUCACACCAAGCUUGAUGAACUUCAUGAUUUUAUUUGGUGUGCUUAGGGAUGUUUAAUUGAGCCAAUUUUUUGCAUGAAUGAGCAUAUGUAUGUUGAGAUAACAUGUGAAUUUUUCUGGAUUUAUUGCUUGCAUUUCCUAAUUGAUUGGAAUUUUCUCUUCUGUUGGCUCAUUUUGUGAUUUUUUGUGACACAUGUUGGCAUUUGAUUUGUGAAAUUCUCAUGAUUAAUUGGAUGGAUGUGAAAUUUGACAUGUGAAUUCUAGACACAUUAUAGGUCAUUGUGGUUUUGAUCCCAUUCAUUUAUCAUGUAUUAUCACUGUUUUAUGAUUUUUGGAAGUUGAUGCUUGUGUUGAUGCCUUGUGUUGGCUUGUUUGAAGUUGUAUGAACUUUUUGAUUUUCAUUGACCAACUUCCUCUUGUCCAAAUGAGCUGAAAUUUGAUAUGCUAUUCAUUGAAUAUGUUCUGUUUAGACUUGAAUUUUUGUGGAAUUUAUUGAAAUGUUUUGGUAUGGAUUUGAUUGAGAUCAUUCUGUUUGGUCCUUUGAGGUUGCAAAUUACAUGUUUGAUGCCUUUUUGUGCAUGAAAUGAUAAUGGUGAUUGAUAUGAGCAUGGGACCAAUUGAAUUUGUUUCUAAAUUUUUUGAUUGUGAUUUUGGAUAAUUUUCACUUGCUGUUUUGAUUUUUUUUUCUCCUUUGGAGCCUAGGCUUGGCCUAGUGGUCUUGUUUCUCAUGUUUGGUUUGGAUUUUCAGGUUGAGAUGCAAAGGCCUUAAGGAGAAAAAUGCAAGUUGAUUAAAUUGAGUUUGGUUGCUUGUUGUAAACUAACUUGUGUUGUUUUGUAGGAUGCUUGACUCAAUUGAGUUGAUUGUGCUUUGCACAUGGCAUUGCUUGUACAUUGUGUUAACUGUUUGACUUUUGCUGUUUAAUGUUGGUUUGUCUAGUAUACUGAAUGUACUUGAUUGAUUUCAGGUACAUUAGUUGCUAACAGUUCUUUAAGAACUUGCUUGCUGUUGCUUGGUUGUAUAAACCAAUUGAGGUAGACUCUCUUGUCUCCAUGUAGUCUGGAAGACCUGGCCUGUUACUUGGCCAGGCAACUGUCUGAAGUCCUCCUUAAGAGGCGAUGUUUGUGAUUGUUUAACUUUGUCCCCAAGCAGGUAAAGACCUUGAUUAAGGCAAUUGGCGGAACCCAAGGGAUGUGCAAUCCAUCCCCCGCUAUUCUGUUGAGUCGUCCCUCUGCUCACACCACUGUGUUGAUGCAUUGGGACACAAANNNNNNNNNNNNNNNNNGUUUGCCUGUGUUUGUGUGUGUCUUGUUUGGCGUGCGUGAGCCGAACUACGGCAGCUCUGAUUCUCGUUCCAGACGAGAUACGUAGGCAUAGGACGCGAUGUCCUAGCGAGCCCUCUUCCUCUUACCCCACCUGUGUUGUUUUCGGUGUGUGUGUGUGUGAUGUGUUUGUUUUAGCAACCUUUUCUUUCUUUUAGAGCGUGGAUCCCGUCGAGUACGACGGACGUGAGGGGUGCUAAUACCUUCCCCUUGCGUAACCGACUCCCUUACCCUUUCUCUUUGGUCGCGAGACCAUGCUUUUCCCAGGUUUACUUCGAGCGUUUCCUUUCCCUCUUUUGGGAUAAAUAAUGCACGGUGGCGGCUCUGUUUGUUUUUGUUUUAGCCCGCCGGUUGUUUUUCGCGGAUGCGACACAUAUGCAUUAGCAUUGGGAUCACACCUUGGCAUCCUCCUUACCCCUCUUUCAUUGGGUUUGUUUUGGGAGAGAUCACCAAACACCAUGUGAUUGUAUCAUACUUGUAUUUUAUCAUUUUACUAACCAAAAUACCAAAAAUAUGUCUUUGUAUUUGCCUAACUUUUUGUAGGUAUGACAUGAUCUUCAUUGAUCUAUCAAGUUCAUAUAUAGGGUUUGAGACCCUCAUGACAAGGAGCACAACCAUGAAUUGAUCCAAGAAUGGUUAUGAGCAUCAUAUAUGAGUUCCAUUGAUCUCUACAUGUCAUAUUGAUCAAGUUUUCUUCAAGAGUUUGAGGGUGAUUUGCCUUGGAAACCCUAGUUUGACUGGGUAUCUUGAGUAACUUCUCCAACAAGCUAUCUCACCAAUUGAUCAAAUUUCUCAAGGGACACUUAAAAAUUCAUCAUCUUAUGCAUAUAUGAUCUAACAUGAGCCUAGAAAGUCAAGAGAAUUGAAGGUUGGCAAGUUGAUCGAUGGUGGUUGGCCAGAUGAAUUCAUCUUAUCAAAACUAGGUCUCCCUAGACCCUACCUCCUACAAUUUUCACCAUAUAAAAUGAUUCCAAUAGAAAAGUUACUCUAAAUGACAUAUCAAACAACUUUCAUGUUGAGACCUAGAGCUAGUUUUUCUUGGAAAAUCAUUUUCUAUGUUGAAACAUUAUAGGUCAUUUUGUCUAAACCCUAAUUUGAAAGUCAACUUUCCAAGGCCAUAACUUGCUCAAUUUUUAUGAGAUGAUAGAUUUCCAAGUUGCACAAUCAAAUUCAAUGUGUCUACUUCAACUUUGAUGUUUGGAGUGAGAGCUAAUUCAACUUUUUUGAGCAUGUGAUAUGAGGCUACAUUAUAGGUCACUUUUGACCUAUACCAUUGAUCAAGUGAUUUUUCCAAACUUCAAAAAUGCAUAACUCUAUCAUGCAACUUCAUCAUAAGCAUUAGCAUUGGGAUCAUACCUUGGCACCCUCCUUACCCCUCUUUCAUUGGGUUUGUUUUGGGAGAGAUCACCAAGCACUUUGUGAUUAUAUCAUACUUGUAUUUUAUCAUUUUUACUAACCAAAAUACCAAAAAUAUGUCUUUGUAUUUGCCUAACUCUUUUGUAGGUAGGGCAUGAUCUCAUUGAUUCAUCAAGUCCAUAUCUAGGGUUUGAGACCCUCAUGAACAAAGAGCACAACCAUGAAUUGAUUCAAGAAUGGUUAUGAACAUCAUAUAUAAGUCCCAAUGAUCUCUACAUGUUAUAUUGAUCAAGUUUUCUUCAAUAGUUUGAGGGUGAUUUGCCUUGGAAACCCUAGUUUGACUGGGUAUCUUGAGUAACUUCUCCAACAAGCUAUCUCACCAAUUGAUCAAAUUUCUCAAGGGACACUUAAAAAUUCAUCAUCUUAUGCAUAUAUGAUCUAACAUGAGCCUAGAAAGUCAAGAGAAUUGAAGGUUGGCAAGUUGAUCGAUGGUGGUUGGCCAGAUGAAUUCAUCUUAUCAAAACUAGGUCUCCCUAGACCCUACCUCCUACAAUUUUCACCAUAUAAAAUGAUUCCAAUAGAAAAGUUACUCUAAAUGACAUAUCAAACAACUUUCAUGUUGAGACCUAGAGCUAGUUUUUCUUGGAAAAUCAUUUUCUAUGUUGAAACAUUAUAGGUCAUUUUGUAUAAACCCUAAUUUGAAAGUCAACUUCCCAAGGUCAUAACUUGCUCAAUUUUUAUGAGAUGAAAGAUUUCCAAGUUUCACAAUCAAAUUCAAUAUGUCUACUUCAACGUUGAUGUUUGGAGUGGAAGCAAAUUCAACUUUUAUGAGUAUGUGAUAUGAGGAUAUAUUAUAGGUCAUUUUUGACCUAUACCAUUGAACAAGUGAUUUUUCCAAACUUCAAAAAUGCGCAACUCUAUCAUUAUAAAUCCAAAUGACAUGAAAUUGGUGACCAUUUUGAAGUUCUUUGAAAGAGCUACAAAUUUGAUGAAGACACGUUUCUCAUUUGAAGCUCACAUAAAAUGUUAAGUAAGGUGGAAUAUUGAGAUAUAUGGCUUGACACUUUGAAAAAAUUUCAACAUGUUGAAAUUUCCAAACGUCAACCUCAAAAUUCACCAUGAUCCAAGCUCCAAAUAAAAAAGUGUUCAACAUCAAACUUGUUCCUCUUGAUCCAUGCUUUCCAAAGAACCCAAGUUCAUGCAUUUUGGAUGGGGUUUGCUAGGGCUGCGCAUGGCUUUAACAGAGCUGCAUCAUUGGAGGAAAUCAAAUGUACAAACUUCAUUUCAUAUUGCCUUGCCAAUCAAGCUUCAUUCAGACUUCAACAUGAUUGAUUUUGGACCUUAAUGCAUUGCCUUAUGGGUCUGUUCAUGCCCAUGCACUCGUGUCAUUCACAUUGCUAAAUUUGGUCAAAAUUUCAAGUGUGCAAAUAUCACUCCCUCAUGCUAUAAAUACAUGACCUCUGUGCUCCAUUCAAACACACCUUGCGCGCCAGCUUUGCCCCCAAUUCAAACCCUCUCAUUCUAAAGGAAAACCUGAGAAUUUUCAAUUUGAAAAUUGAGUUUGAAUCUCAACUGUUGGAGAUUCACAAACUCCGGGAUCCAAAGCCUUGCACACUUGCUAAUCACUUCCUACAAGCUUCUCAAGUGUGAUCAGAUCGUGUUUGAAGCAAGCAACAUCAAGUUCUGCACAACAUUGAAGGUUAUUUUCAGAAAAUUUCAUCUCUUCGAUUCUCACUUAAUUCUCAUCAAUUCUCUUGGAUCUUUGGUUGUCUGAAGUCCUACCAAUGUAGGCAAGAAGAUUGAGUUGCUUAGAGGUCAAAUCGAAGCAACUCAGUUGACGCACCUCAAAAUUCAACCCUCAUAUCUUUCUAUAUAUGUGGAGUUAGUUAAAAUUGAGGUGAUAUUCGUGAUCUAUACCAUUUUAUCUUUCAGAUCAUGUCCUCUUUUGUCAUUUAUGAUGUGGUGAUGACUGAACCAGUCCGGCCAGGGUCAUCGGAGAAGAUGACCGGCCUUUGGCUCUGACGAUGAGCUGGAAGUGUUCAGAGCCAUUAGAUGAGCUUGAAAUGUUUUAAUCUCGUGCGUUGCUUUUAAAUACCAAGCCUAUGCCGCGUUGACUGCAGUGCACCAUGGAACGCGCGCUUCUCACCACUUGAUCUGCCACCUCAAUUAAUGAGGCAGAUCAAGUGGUCCACGUUUUUUGACAUUUUCUGAUUUUUCUUUUAUUCCUUUUAUUUUCAUUAAUUCAUAUUAAUUUUAAUAUUGAUCCAAAAAAUAUGAGAGUUUCACCAAAAAUUUUCAAAUAAUUUCCUCUUUCAUAUUUUGAAUUAAAAUUAUUUUUUGGAUCAUUAUUAAUAUUUUUCAUGAUUUAAUUGAUUUUGUGAUUGUUUUUAAUUGUUUAAAAAUACUUUUAAGUCUUUAAAAAUUCUGAAUUUUUUUCUCCGAGGUUAUUUGACCUUGUUUAACCUAUGAUAAAUCUCAUGGCCAUUUCUUUGGUGUUUUGAUGAGGUUUUAGGAAUUUGACAAACCAUAUUUAAUUUAAAUAUAUUAUUUUAGUAUUUUUAAUUUGAAUAAAUGCCAAUUAAUUAUGUUGACCUAUUGUGAUGACUUGUAUAAGUUUGACUCUUGUUGUUGGGCCUUGGUCAAGGUUGAUUUGACUUUGUCAAGUUAAUAUCAUUGGAUUUAGGGGAUUGAUGGAAUGUACAUUCCAUCUCCCAAAAUGAAUGGAUGAUAUUAAUUUGGUAAAAGUCCUCCUUUGACCAAUUUGAGUUUUGAUCCAUUCCCCUCCCUCUUCAUCUCAUUCCCAUUCUUUAUACAUUCAUCUCAUUUGGCCUAUGAUAUCUCUAAGUCCUAAGGCUAGUUGAUUGCAAAAUCAACAUAAGUAUGUAUGAGAUUAAGCCACCUCUUUUGCAUAUUCUUUUUGUGUGUGGUAUGUUUCAUGAGCAUAGUCCAUUAUACUAUGUCUCUAACAUGCAUUAACACCAAAAUUCUAUUGCCCGACCUCAAAUAGUUGUGACUUCUACAUAAGUCCAAUUACGAUUGCUUAACAUAGCGCUAAAUUUNNNNNNNNNNNNNNNNNNNNNNNNNNNNNNNNNNNNNNNNNNNNNNNNNNNNNNNNNNNNNNNNNNNNNNNNNNNNNNNNNNNNNNNNNNNNNNNNNNNNNNNNNNNNNNNNNNNNNNNNNNNNNNNNNNNNNNNNNNNNNNNNNNNNNNNNNNNNNNNNNNNNNNNNNNNNNNNNNNNNNNNNNNNNNNNNNNNNNNNNNNNNNNNNNNNNNNNNNNNNNNNNNNNNNNNNNNNNNNNNNNNNNNNNNNNNNNNNNNNNNNNNNNNNNNNNNNNNNNNNNNNNNNNNNNNNNNNNNNNNNNNNNNNNNNNNNNNNNNNNNNNNNNNNNNNNNNNNNNNNNNNNNNNNNNNNNNNNNNNNNNNNNNNNNNNNNNNNNNNNNNNNNNNNNNNNNNNNNNNNNNNNNNNNNNNNNNNNNNNNNNNNNNNNNNNNNNNNNNNNNNNNNNNNNNNNNNNNNNNNNNNNNNNNNNNNNNNNNNNNNNNNNNNNNNNNNNNNNNNNNNNNNNNNNNNNNNNNNNNNNNNNNNNNNNNNNNNNNNNNNNNNNNNNNNNNNNNNNNNNNNNNNNNNNNNNNNNNNNNNNNNNNNNNNNNNNNNNNNNNNNNAGUAUGGAUGAGAUUAGGCCACCUCUUUUGCAUAUUCUUUUUGUGUGUGGUAUGUUUCAUGAGCAUAGUCCAUUAUACUAUGUCUCUAAUAUGCAUUAACACCAAAAUUCUAUUGCCCGACCUCAAAUAGUUGUGACUUCUACAUAAGUCCAAUUACGAUUGAUUAACAUAGCGCUAAAUUUGUGACACAAAAGGCAUAGCAUUCUAGUUAGUGAGAUUGUAAGUCUCCCCUCUUUCAUUGUAUUGUGUGGAAACUUGGCCUUUUUUCCUUCCUUUGGAAGAUGUCUUGGUUCAAGGAUCCAUGCUUGUGAUAAGUGGGUUGAGUGUUCUCUAAAGAAUGAGUUAAAAUGAAAAGCGAAAGCAAAACAAUACUAACUUAUAACUCAUUAACAACUAACAUUUAAUUUCAAGUCCUUUAUUUUUAAUGCACUUUAAUUUUUUUAAGUUCUAUUCAUUUGCCAUUAUUCAUACCAUUCUAAUUGUUCAUGUUAAUGCAAAUUUCACUUUGUCCAUUUGGACCAUAUUGUGUGCUAUACCUUGUUUGUGUAUAUUUUUGUUUGUUUGUGUGGUCUUUGACCAUUAAUGUACAUAAUAAGAAAAAAAACCCUAAAAAACUUUUGUGUGGACUGUUGACUUGAUCUUGGACCAAUUAGACUUAGAAUCUAGGCAACCUCCCUAUGCUAAAUGACUUGGCCAAUGCCAACAUUUAUGUAAUCAAGUGCUUGCAAUUUGAAACUUCAUCUGAUACAUCUUUGAAGAUCCCUUUGAGUUCAUCUGCAACAUGAUCAUUGUGAAGCUGUUAUUUUGAGUUUAUGACUUAUGGCAUUGUGGAAUUCAUCUGCUACAUGGGCAAACUUGAAGAAGAUCAUGGAGUGGCUAAAGCUUGGAUGUGGCUAUCUUUAUUUGAUGCCUUGCUCUUCAAGUUAAUAUUGUAUGCAU
Molecule: long non-coding RNA, 65008 nt
Filed under: Lathyrus oleraceus (garden pea)
Lineage: Eukaryota; Viridiplantae; Streptophyta; Magnoliopsida; Fabales; Fabaceae
Description: Pisum sativum (pea) long non-coding RNA (PSAT_LNC000395)
Source: RNAcentral